CUCCUGAAGACUUUCUCUAAUGGGCCACCAGUGCUUGAUGGGCUGGGGGGGGGGUUAUUCUCAUAUGAAAUUUCUACAGCAUCACUUCUAUAGUUUUACUUCAUUCUUCCAGGGAAAAUAUAUUUUACCUCAAGACAAGUUCAUCAGAUAUGGAUGAAAACCCUUUUGUAUUCCAUUAUAUCUUCAACACUUCCCCUGUUGUGAUCCAUACAUCUUUUUUUUUAAACUCCCAGGGAGUUAGAUACCAGGGCAUUAUUAGUUUAUAUUGAUUGUUGAAGAAAUGUAUAUCUGGCGAUAAUGAUUUACCAUUCAGUUGUUAAGUAAUUCCUCUGUGUAUCCAAUCCUCAACUGGUCUACUGUUAUCCUUCCCCCACAUUUUUUUCUUAUAUGGUAUACACAACUGAUCAGUUAUUAAAUUUAUAACCUGCCAUAAUUCAAAACAUUUAAAGGUAUCUAAAAACAUGUAAAUUUAAUAACAAAUGGGAAUCCUUUAGGUCUUUUCUGUGAUGUAGUUCACACCUCAUGCCCAGGACUGUCCCACCCAUGUGGCUCAGUGAGGUGCUGUAGAUAUGGAGGCCCCAGGAGUACACCACUCAAUGCCUCCUGUGUUUGUCGCCCGCUGCCGCCUCAACCAUGCUGCUGCCCCCUUGUUCUUCUCCAGCCUCUUUUUUUCCUCCCCCACCACCUUCAGUGCUUCCCUGGGCCGCCUCUAGUCACCUCAGGCAGUGACGGUGGGAGCAGAGGACACCCCCCUGGCAUUUUCUGUUUCACUUCAUGUGGCAAAAUGUCCUGGGCCGGCCUUGUUCAUACCAUGUAUCCAACUAAGUUCUACUUAGAGUAGAUGCAUUGAAAUUGGUGAAUCUAAGUUAGGCAUGCCUAGUAGUGUCAGUAGGUCUACUCUGAAUUAUUCUUUCAGUGAUGAUAAAUGGGGCUUUUGGGUGUGUGUUUUUACUACAAUAUUGUUUUUGAUAUUGAAGAAAGUGAUGUGUCAUGUCUGAAGUCCAAGAGCUUUCUUAAGUUGCUCAAAAAGAUGGACACCAGGAACAAACGAUGAAAGCGGCAAGGAGUGGAAUAAAAGAGGCGAGGUAAAGGCACAAAUGCAAGUACUAUGAAUGCAGUAAGACAAACUUCAGCUUCCUUACAAAUGAGGAUUAAUGGGAUUGAGCCAACUGCUGCGUGGAAAAAUUGUUUGGAGAGUGCUUUUCAGUAGGAGAGGGGCAACAUUGCAUCUCAGAUGCUCUGAGAAGGAGUUUGGAAUUUGUAACAGAAUAUAUGGGGGGAGCCUUUAAUGAGAACAGGAGACAUUUUGGUAGCUGAAGGUGGUGAAGAUGGAGGUGCCAAAUCACCAUGAAGGAGGAAAGGUCUUGGGGAAAGGGCAAAGAAAUAGGAUAGGACAAGGCUGCGGAGGCAAGCUGGUGUUUGAUUGGGAAAGACUCGGACAAAAGCAAUGUAAGGAAUUGAAGGAUUGUGUCCCUUGCUGUGUGCAAGAAGAGGUGAAUGAUUAUGACAGCAGAGUUCUGUAUAAUGUUGAGAAAGUGGAACAGGAUAUACCAGAAGGAAGCCUCAAGUAUAAUUCCGAAUGUCUUACAGAUAACUUGUUAAUGAAAGCAAGAACUCUUUCUUAUGCUUGUUGAAUUCUCACUACACUAAUCUGUAUUAAGUUCUCUUCUAGAUCUAUUUAUUGUGUUAUCUGAAAUCCUGGCUAUGCUUUUAUCAUUCAGAGGUCCAGUUUAUUUAUAGUAUUGCAUAUGUCUGGCAGCGAUGUGUCAUUUGCAUACGAUGCUAUUUUUACCAUUUUUUACCCUGCUCUUGUACUUUAUAUUCCUAGCUUCAUUGUGAAUCAAUGCUGCUAACAUUUCAUUAUACAGAAUUAGAAACACUGGGACAUCUUUCCCGGAUAUCUCUGCCUUACAAAACUUCAUGAGAUAAUAAUAAUCUGUUAGCAGUUGACUCUCAACUGCAGACUUUUCUGUUUCACUCAGGUAUUCCACUGUGGCCUCCGGAGAGCAAUCUUCAAAGGCAGGAGCUAUUUGCACUGAGUAUACACACACACUCACAUGUGGUUUUGGAGAUUACUGAAGCUAGGUGGAGUAUUCUCUGGAGGUUGUUCACACUGACUUUGACUGCUCUGUUAACCCAUGGAACAGCAAGUUGGUAAGGGAAUCGAUAUAGAUGCCUCCAGGUCUGUUCUCCUUCCUCUUCCUUCUGCACAUUCCCUUGUGGUUUAUGAAGGACCUAAGGUGGAUGAAGCAUGAAAAAUGGGGGAAACAGCUGGAAAAUGGCUUGUUGAAUCUGGGUUGUUUCUGCUUUAAGAAUGAGCCAGUUAUGAGUUUGCAACUUGCUUGAAUUAGUUGUGAUCUGCAUUUGUUCUCAUGUGCAAUCCUAGGCUUAACAUAGGGGGAGAAGUUGUCAAUCUAUUGCCACUUUCUGCCAUCAUUCUACAAAUAUCCCCUAUAAGUGCAGUCUAUUAUAGAAAAAGCUACAGAGACCGUCAGUAAUAAAUCUGGAUAAAUAUUUUCACAGUUUCUUUUAAAGCACAUUAUGAGGCACUUUUCAUACAAAAGCAUCACUUUUUUUUUAGUCGCCCAUUUGUAUCAAUUUAUAUAAAAGUGGUGCCGAUUCUCGUGUGUCAUCACAAAAGGAUACAAAUAUCUUGUUCUCUCAGCGAAAGUUGAUCUGCACUUUGUAUCAUUCAUUACCUUGUUUUUACUGUUGUAAAAUAUGCAUGACGAUAUCUGGAGGAUAUUUACUCGGAAGUAAGACCCACUGCCUAGUAAGUGUAUGUAUGCAUGGUUGCAGCCCUAGGCAAAUUAAGAAGUGGUGAUGAGAUGCAAUGAUCACUUCUCGCAAUGUUUAUCUUGGGAAACGCUGAGGAAAUCUGCCUUACCUUGCAAACCUGAGCAACCUCCAUUCACCUUCUGGAAAUCAUAAAUACGCUAUGCAAGCUACAAAGCCCUGAAAACGGAUUACAGCAUUUGCAGAACCAGCUUAGUUUCAGUGAAUGUGGUUUAAUAUGUCUGCUUUAAAUACAAAUAUUCCCUGUGUUGUAGAAGAGGCUUGUGGAUAUCCACUUGUCUGGUUGCCUGUGGGAAGUAAGAAGUGUUGUGUGUGUGUGUAUAUGUGUGUGUGGAGGAAGGGGGUGUGGUGGGGGUGGGCUGCCCCGGGUGUCACCACUGAGGGGGGUGACAAAAUGCCAGGCGGCACUCACCGCAGGGCCUGCAGUGCACCCAAGCCACAUGUCUUUCCUGGGAGAGACACGGUGGCUUGGGCACGCACAGGCUCCAUGUUGCCCAAACGGUCUGCCCGCUGCCUCGCCCCCAGCUGUAGGGCAGCUGAGUGGGAGGAGGCAGGCAGACUCUGGAGGCUCCAUGGUGCGCCCUGCCCUUGCCCCACCCCUAUGGGUGGCUCACCCUGCCCUCGCCCCAGGGCAUGCUCCCCAGGCGCCUGAGCGGCUUCCUCCGCUGCUAUGUGUUUAAAAACACAAAGAGGUAGGUACGUUGGCCCAUGAGAAAAAAAGUCCACAACACAUACUAGGGCAGUACAGUGGUACCUUGGGUUAAGUACUUAAUUCGUUCCAGAGGUCCGUACUUAGCCUGAAACUGUUCUUAACCUGAAGAAACACUUUAGCUAAUGGGGCCUCCUGCUGCUGCCGCGCCCCCGGAGCACGAUUUCAGUUCUCAUCCUGAAGCAAAGUUCUUAACCUGAAGCACUAUUUCUGGGUUACCUGAAGUGUAUGUAACCUGAAGCGUAUGUAACCCGAGGUACCACUGUACCUUUAUUAGGCCAAGCCAAAUGUUACAAAGUAGUAUGAAGCGUUUGGUAUUCUCUGUAACAUUUUGUCAGAAGAUUGUAAACAGCAAGGGGGUGGAGAUGGGAAGAAAAGUUGGAUGUUGAAGCCCUGGAGUCUGUGCUUAGUAACAUCAGCUGCAAUGUGGGAUGAGGUACCAGACAGACGCACGAGGCUGUUACGUACUAUUAUAGAACGUACAUCCAGGCGUCCUUUGUGAACUGUUCCAUUGUUUAAUGUGUGUCAGCUUCCACUUACAGCAGAGCUUCUAGAAUGAUUUCCAUUCCAAAGAGCUGCAGGCAAAUCCGAGGAACUAUAUACCUCUGCAAAUGGAACCUGCUUUGCUGUAGUGCGAAAUCAAACUUCUUGGUCAGCCUGAACCUAGGCACGUUCACUUGAAACGUUGAAGUUUGAACUAAAAGUUCAGUGGGCCUUAAGAAUAAAAGUGUGUGUCGGAAUGUGUUCACGUUACCGCCUUAGAGCACAGUGAAGGGUUGUUGGUUUUUGGUGCAUUUCACAGCUCCUUCCCCUCUAGCUGUUCACAUCAACACAACUUCAUUAGUGUUGGGUUCGUUUCUGUUUGUGUACACACCAGUGGGUGUUCACGGGGCAGGAAUGUCUUCACCUUCUGUAAAGGGGUUCAGGCCUCGGCCGGAGACAAACUGGAAAUGGCUUAAGGACACCCGAUCGAUAUGAAGCUGGUUUGAGAAACAAUUCAUCACAACAAAAUACGGGAUGCAUAUACAUUUUAGACAACGUUGCUUAAGCACAGAUUAAAAACCCAGCCCUGGAAACUGAGCGAGUGCAUGGUAAACAGAAGUGUGAAUAGAGCGGAGGACUGCAGCUUUUGUUAAUGCUGGCUAAAAUCCGAUAUACAGUUACCUGGUUGUAAGCGCUACUGAACACAAGCUUCUGAAUGGAUAGGAUUGUGCUGUUAAUUGCUUCAUGGUCUGUUUAGCUUUCAGAGUUCACUAAGAAAGCUCUUACCUGGAAUUACUGACAUAUCUUGCUAGAAGGUCCGCAGCAGAUAGGAUUGGGGCGUUGGCGGGGUAGGGGAUGACCUGGGUCAUCUAUUGCAACCUUUCUCUUCAAGCAGGAUUACCCUGCCGCUUUGCAAGUGAUAACCUUGUAUAUACAUGAAAGGAUUUGCUGUUUUAUGUUGCUGUAAACUCGUGUUCCAUUUGUCAUCUGCUGUCUUCCAAAUCCUCUUCUGCAUAUUCAUUACAUAGUCUGGGUUUGUUUGGGGGGUUUUUUGUAUUCUGCCAGGCACUUGGGAAUUUUUCUGCUAAAUACUGUAGAUAAUACCAUACAGUAAGAUAAAUAAAAUGGGUUGCUUCCAGUAUUUAGUCAUUUUAAAGGAAAGCUUAAGUUUCCCAAUCAGCCUUCUCGGUAGCCUCAUAUUUCUUUUUCGCAGCUGAAAUAUCAUCUUGGCUAUGAGUCCUGGAAGACUUUUACACCUGGCCUUGGUGGGCAGAGCCCUGACUGACUCCAGCUACAAAAGCUGAGGCUACUGAACAGGCUCUUGGGAUGGUGCAUUGUUUAGGAGUUUUCGUUGGGACAGGGGUUGUUGCUCUUGUUUUUUUGUAUCUGUUUUAGAUCUUGUUGUGAUUUAUGUGGAAACUGUUUGGUUGUGUAUUUUUUAAUGUUUUAUUUAUUUAUAACUACUUUCGUUAUGUUGUAGUUAUGUAUUUUUUAUGUUGUAAGCUGCCUUGAGCAUGGUUUGAACUGUGGAAAGGGGACAUACAUAUAAAAUUAUGUAUGUAUGCAUGCAUGCAUGUUUGUAUGUAUGUAUGUAGAGCCACCAUGUAGGAAGUGGCCAAUUGUGCAAGAGAUGGGUGGGUUAUCCUUUGGUCAACUCAGUAUUUUGUGGGAAAGAUUCAGUUGCAUACCAGAAAUUGAGGUUUGCGCAAUUAAUAUGGAUUAAAGUAUUCUGUUGCUCUGGCACAACACUUCCACCUUAAAAACAAACAAACCCAAAACUUUUUGUAGGUAGGGAAGUGACAGGGAAAUACACAAAAAAUGAGGAAUAAACCAUUGAUUAUCAUGAAAACAUAUAGCCAUGCAAACAAAUCAAGAUGAAAUCAGAAUGGAAGCUCAUUGUCAUAUAGGUAAAGGGUAAAGGGACCCCUGACCAUUAGGUCCAGUCGUGGCCGACUCUGGGGUUGCAGCGCUUAUCUCGCUUUACUGGCUGAGGGAGCCAGCGUACAGCUUCCGGGUCAUGUGGCCAGCAUGACUAAGCCACUUCUGGUGAACCAGAGCACUGCACGGAAACGCUGUUUACCUUCCCGCCAGAGCGGUACCUAUUUAUCUACUUGCACUUCGUGCUUUUGAACUGCUAGGUGGGCAGGAGCUGGGACCGAGCAACGGGAGCUCACCCCAUCGCGGGGAUUUGAACUGCUGACCUUCUGAUCGGCAAGCCCUAGGCUCUGUGGUUUAGACCACAGUGCCACCCGUUGUCAACACCCGCUACCCAUUGUCAUAUAACCACCCCGCAAAUAGGACUACCUGUAAGUGUUCAGUAUAGAUGAGACAUUGUGUAACCUCACAUAAGCUUUGUGCAUGGAAAUAAUGUUGAAUGUGCAAUAAACAGGCCAUCUGGAGGAGUCUCUUUUAGUUAGAUCAGGUUUAUAAAAAUUGAAAUCACACUUUGGACCUUAGGAAUUGUAUUCAAUGCUGUACGAGUGCUUUGUGUUCUUUGGAAGAGCAAUGGGGUAUAUGUGAAACUGAGUUUGUGCAGUGGUGGUUCUGUUGUAUGGGACUUCAGUGAUCAUGCAGACAUGCGAGUCUUCUCUUAUUUCCCAUAAUCAUUUCUGCUGUCUUCAUUUGCGACCAUGAAGUGUUGAAAAAAUGUACCAAAAGCAACAAGCUCCUGAAAUAUGGCUAAUGAUCUUUGGCUACUGAGACGCUCCAAUUCCUGGGUUAAAGAGCUGAUUUUUGCAUGGUUAGGGAUUAGUCUCAGAAAAGCUUGUUUACAAACCGUGUUAGACUGAAGCAGAAGUGGUUCCGGGGUCAAAACCUUGUAGCAGACCUUCAAAGCAGGUCCAUGAAGAUCAGGCUCUUGAGUUGGUACAGGAAAUUCAUGGGUGAGUUAUACUUGGGAUACGCAAUAAACUGUCAUUAAAGUGUGCAUUACAGUGGUACCUCUGGUUACGUACUUAAUUCGUUCCGGAGGUCCGUUCUUAACCUGAAACUGUUCUUAACCUGAAGCACCACUUUAGCUAAUGGGGCCUCCUGAUGCUGCCGCGGUGCUGGAGCACAAUUUCUGUUUUCAUCCUGGAGCAAAGUUCUUAACCUGAGGUACUAUUUCUGGGUUAGCGGAGUCUGUAACCUGAAGCGUAUGUAACCUGAAGCGUAUGUAACCCGAGGUACCACUGUAAUUGCUCCAAUUCCCUUCACCAAUGCUACUUAUGACCCUCAGUCACCUGUUCCCUCUGGUUCUUAGUGCGCUGCCACUGUAGCUUUCAAUUCUCCACCAGAGCUUUCCAAACUGUGUGUCAUGAUGAAUGCUCCCCAUGCUCUUCCAGGGGCUGUAAAGGGGUUAGUUUAACCUCAGGUUUGCUAGUAAAACCAAAUUACUGUGUUGCGAAAGGAUGCAUGUCUAAAAAGUGUGUCACCAACAUGAAAAGUUUGGAAAGCUCUGACCUAGGCCUUUUCCCCACAUUCCACUGCUUGCCCUCCCAAAAUAGCUUUGAAAGAAAGCAGCAGCCCAUGCUGUCAACCUAGCCACCCCUGAAAUCCAAGUCUGCCUUCUGCCUGAUCAAAGGCCGCCACCACCUACUCUAUGCCCUUCCCCUUCGGCUACAAAUGCUGGCAGGUUGCAAAUUCCAUUCUCUCUACACACCUUGAACACCCUCACUGCUAAUUUAAAUGUCAUGGGACGGGAGCGAGGGGCAAGGAAAACGUAAAUGCAUGUGAUGCUUCAGCCUCACUGUCCCAAGUAAGGGUGUCAGGUUCUGGCUUGGAUGAUGAUUUAGUAAUAAUAAUAAUAAUAAUAAUAAAUUGAAUUAAUUAUUAAAUUUGUGUAGAGAGGUGUAGUGGGCUGCACUAGGGACUCCAAAGGAACUCCAGGCAUAAUUGUUUGACCAUCCUGUUUCAUAACAUCAGCACCAAACUAGCACUAAAUUCUGGCAGAGGUGUUGGUGUGUGGGGCACCAGAUUUGUGGGUUCAUAGUUUAUGGAGCUACAUGCCUUUGGAAAAUGUGGUGAUGGAGGUAAUACAGACCUACAGCACUGGCUGCUCUUUUUCUUAUGCCCACACCAUUUCCUCGCUCGGUCUCAAGAAUUUGCAUCGCUUUUGGAAAGCAAAUGAAAAACUGCAGCAUCAAAGCAGAUAUGUGGGUCACAAGCAUCAUAAGAGAGCAGAGCACUUUGAGAAGUAACAGACUAGAGGACAUUUCUUUGGCUUUCUUCUAACCUAGCUUACACUCCCGAAGACAUUUCUCAUUGAAAUGCUUGACUUUCUUCUCCCACCCCCUAACUUUACCCCCCCUCCAGGUGAACGUGCUCUGCCGUUUCUCUGUUAUCAGGGUUAUGUGCAAACUUUGCUCCCAGCGCUGUGACUAAGUAGAUCAUGAUCAUCUUAAUGUUCGUAUCUGGCUCUGCACACAUAUAUUUUGCAAAGUAACGUUGGCAUUGCAGCACCGUUAGCAGCCUCCCUGUAAAAAUUAAUGAUGCAUUGUCAUGCAUGGCUAGACCAAACAGUCAGUAUUGAUUCUUGUUUGCAGGUUGUCAGGUGAUUUUAUGAAGAGGUUUUAAUAGCUGCACAUUGCUUAUGCUGUUUUAAAGCAAUUACCAAUUAACAGGCCGAAUGGCCAGUACCAUUGGAAAGAAUUCUGUUUUGAAAUAUAUUUGUAUCGGACCAAGAUAAAGAAGUCAAAUGAAAACAUGGGCCACUGAGUUUGGGUUUAUUUAAAGGGAACGCCACUUUUGUAGCAGUACAGUUGUACCUUGGUUGUCGAAUGCCCGGGAACUUGUACAUUUUGGCUGCCGAACGCUGCAAACCCGGAAGUGAUUGUUCUGGUUUGCAAACAUUCUUUUGGAAGCCAAAUGUCCCGACGGGGCUUCCGCAGCUUCUGAUUGGCUGCAGGAGCUUCCUGCGGCCAAUCAGAAGCUGCGCUUUGGUUUUUGAACGUUUUGGAAGUCAAAUGGACUUCUGGAACGGAUUCCAUUCCAUUCCAUUCCAUUCCAUUCAACUUUCGAGGUACAACUGUAUCUAAAAAGAAGCUUCCUCGCUAGUGAUGCUUUCAUUUUGUUUAUAGCUUGGAGGAAGAGGAAAAGGGGGCUAUUAGAGGGCUGGGGUGCUGUGAUGUUUCGUCAGGCUUUUGAAACAACAACCUCAGUAAACAAAGUACCAGGGGGAGCAGGUGAGGACAUGCAGAGAGAUGCUGAACUGAUUCGAGGAGUUGGGCUUCAUCUUAUGGCCCAUUCAGAAUACAAGGAUAAGUUGGAUGGGAGGGAAACUGGAGGAAAGUGGCCCUGAGCAACUUCCUGUGCCUAACCAGGAACAAUUUAUGCUUUGACAACUGCAGGACUAAGGAGUAGAAAGGUCGUCUCUGUGUUUAUGAAACAGCUCAGAACAGUUAUGUGCCUUCCGGAUCAGAGACAGAAAUCUGGCUUUGUGUUCAAUUGGUGGAUAAAAAGCAAAACAAAAAGUUAUCCCCGACCACUUGUUUAUAUAUGGGAUGGAAAUAUUUUUGGGUGGGAUUCACCUAAUGAGCUGAAAGGCCUGCACAAGGACUUAUGCUUGCACAAAUGGGCUUUCCUCCCCUUGUCCCGAAUUGGCUCUUGGGAAUUGGGAGAGCUCCUGGAGCAGCACAUGGUGGGAGGAGGAUGCGGGGAGGGAAUCGUUCCAUCUGGCCAGAUGAAAUCUUAAGGUAAAUAUCCAAAGGUGUGUAUUCCUUCCUAGUAUCCUGGAUUCACUUACUUGAUUCUUAUCUUUGCUUCGUUAUCUAACUCAUCAAAAUCAAUAGCUUUGUCACUUGUCUAGCUAAACAGUUGUAAGCCAGCGAAGAACCGGCUUUCUUUAUUGUUCGUUACCUCUAAAAUAUUUUUAAUGAUUCUUAGCUAAUUAAUAAUGAAUAAUUUUACAUCUUUAAACAAACACUACUAACAUGUUAGGAUGUAUAUUAUUAAUCAAAUCAUUAAUCAAAUCAAAUCAAACCCCUAGAACCACUGAUAAUUUAAAGUUAGGGACUUGGUAAAGCAAGAAUAUUACUCAGUUAGUAGUAGACAGUUGCUGAGAAUUUAAGAGUACAUCCCAAGACAGAGGGCUUGCUUUAUUUGUAACGGGAAGCUAUGGUUUGAUCAAGUUUGUUCUUGUUUCCUGUAUUUUGACAUGCAGUAAGCCCACAAUUUAUGUAGUGGUUACGUUCAAAAGGAUCAUGCCUAAAGCCAUAUAAUUAUAGACUUGGUAAGGACCAUGAGGGUCAUCUAGUCCAACCCCUAACUAUGCAGAAAUCUAAACUAAAACAAACAUGACAGAUGGCCAUCCAACCUCUGCUUAUAAGCCUCCAAGGAAGGAGAGUCCACCACCUUCCAAUGGAGCCCAUUCCACUGUUGAACAGCUCUUCGCAUCAAAAAGUUCUUCCUAUCAUAUCUCUUCUCUUUUCCAGGCUAAUAUCUCUUCUCUUUUCCAGUUCCCUCAAAUGUUCCUCAUAAAGUUGUUUUCCAGAUUCUUGAUCAUCUUGUUUGCCCACCUCUCCACACAUUCCAGCUUGUCAAUAGCCUUCUUAAAUUGUGCCACCCGUAACUGGCCACAGUACUCCAGGUGGGGUCUGACCAAGGCAGAAUAGAGUGGGACUGUUACCUCCCUUGAUCUGAACACUACUGUUGAUGCAGUCUAGAACAGCAUUAGCUUAUUUUCUACUUCUGCAUCACACUGUGGAUUCAUUUAAGCUUGUGGUCUACUAAGACGCCCUUACUCCUUUUCACAUGUACUACUGGCAAACCAGAUGUCCCCCAUCUUAUACUUGUGCAGCUGGUUGUUCCUGCCUAAGUGUAUAAAACUUACAUUUCCCCUUAUUGAAAUUCAUUUUGUUUGUUUUGCCAAUGAGUUUUUCAGUGAGUUAAGGUCGUCUUGAAUCCCAAUUCUGUCUUCAGCAGCAUUAGCAACCUCUCCCAGUUUGGUGUCAUCUGCAACUUUGAUGAACAGCCCCACAAUUCCUUAGUCCAAUUUGUUUAUAAAUACAUUCAACAACAACAGGCCCAGGCAGAACCCCGCAGCACACACCUUGUCACCUUUUUUCAGAUGAUGAGGAACCAGUAGUGAGCACAUUUUAGGCUCAGUAAGUCCACCAGCUACAAAUCCACCUAACAGUUACCUUAUCCAGCCUACAUUUUACCAUCUUCCCUGCAAGAAUAUCAUGGGGGACUUUGUCCAAAGCCUUACUGAAAUCGAGAUACACUUCUACAGAAUGAGAUUCUUCUGGCAUGCCUUGUUUUUGAGAAACCCAUAAUGGGUCUUAGUAAUCACAGCAUCCUGUCUUAAGUGCUCACAGAACGACCGUUUAAUUAUCUAUUCUAGAACUUCUCCUGAUACUGACGUCAAGCUGACCAGUCGGUACAUACGGGAACUUCUUGGAGACUUGUGAGAUUGACCACAUGGUAUAAAAAAGUCUGGCAAUUAGUGCUGAUAGAAAAAGUAACUUAUAAACUAAAAAUAGCAUGGGGAAUGAAGCCAAAAGACACAUUUCUGAUGGGUUGGCAUACCUUAUUCCAGGCAUCCCCAAACUCGUCCCUCCAGAUGUUUUGGGACUACAACUCCCAUCACCCCUAGCUAACAGGACCAGUGGUCAGGGAUGAUGGGAAUUGUCCCAAAACAUCUGGAGGGCUGAGGUUGAGGAUGCCUACCUUAUCCUGUACAGUGCAGAGGUGCCAACUUGAAUAAUAUAUGUCGGGGGGGUAGGUAAGCUCCGGCCCUCAACAUUGAUCACAUGACCAGGUGCGCACACACUAUUUGAAUGGCAAUGCCCACCAACUUGGAGGGGGGCACCCCACUCAAAUAUUUUAUGGGGGGGAGCUGAAGGAACCUUGUCCGCUAGGAGUUGGAUCCUGUGGUGCAGUGCAAAAUAGAAGAUUGGGGGACCUACACUACGUUAUAAAAAUAUUGGUUGCUGUGUUAGCCUGUGGCAACUGCAACUGCCACACAACCAGAAUAUGACAAUUGAAGGGAUGCAAAUUCUGAUGUUAUCUGACUUUACAUCUUUGGAAAGGGUGGGUGCAUUUUGUUCUAAUACAGUGGACGCUCGGGUUGCGAACGUGAUCUGUGCGGGCUGCACGUACGCAACCCGCAGCAGCGCUUCUGCUCACACGUGGGUUGCGAUUCGGUGCUUCUUCGCAUGCGCAAAGCGCAAUUUAGUGCUUCUGAGCAUGCGCGACCACCAAAACCCGGAAAUAACCCGUUCUGGUACUUCUGGAUUUCAGUGGUCUGCAACCCGAAAAAAUGCAACCUGAAGCAUCUGUAACCCGAGGUAUGACUGUACUGUUUUUUGUUUGUAAUAUAGGAAAAUGUUCAGCAACAGUUGUAAUGAGCAAUGCACCUUGAUAAUGGAUGUUCCCUCAGCUCCGAAGCUUGUUUUUCAGAGGCUUCAUAAUACUGUGCUGUAUUACGAUAAUAAUAAUAAAAAUGUUAAGAGUCCUGGGUCCAGGCUUUCGCAAAAUGAUUCCAAUUGUGUCCUAAAAAUACGUGAUUUUAACUCCUGUUAACAUCUUUAAGAGCUACUGAUGGGAUGCCAGGUGUAGCUGUUUCCUUUGUGCCCAAGACUCUUAUGGAUAACCCCAUUUCUGUUUUCGUUGGCACUGCCUUGGAGGCGAGUAGGAAUGAAAGAAGAAGGCUCGGUAUUUAAAGUUCAAAUAUAGGGCAGGUGCAGGUAUAGCUCUGAAAAUAAAGGCUUUCAUCCAACUUCGUGUUACUUGGUAAUAGGUUGAACAUUUCAUAAAAUGGCUUAUUUCGCUUGCUCCACAAUUUAAAGUGGGCCAAAAACUACUGCCAUUCUCUUAAAAAAAAAAUAAAAAAAAAUUACAAGCUGGUGAAAAUUGCUGGAAUGAAGAAACGUACAAUAUAUAAAAAUUGAAUUUUGUGAGAAGGAGACAGCUACAACUUUUUUUUUAAUGUGGUUUAAAUGAUUACUUUUACACUUCUCUCAGGGCUCCUCUGGAGGUGUUGGCAGUUCUCUGUUGCCAACAUCCUUUGUGUCACGGAGGCAAAUAAGUUACAGUCUUACCAUCACAUAAUCUGGAGCUAAUUUGAGCUCAUGUCCUCUGAUGAGAAAGCACAAGCAAUUUAGGACAAUAAUAGCUUCCCCCAAACAUAGCUUUACCUGCGCACUAAUAAUUCAUACUUGAUCUCUGUUCCAGUUGCAUUUCUUGCUCCUGCAUCUGGUUCAGGAUACUCACUUAAUGCUUUAAGAACGACCUUGUUCAGUAAUUGAAUUCGAACAAGAUAGGCCAGGAGGCCACUUUUCAAGUACACUCUCUCACCUUUUUUUGGAAAGCCUUGGAUAAUGAAGGCAGAUGUUCUGAACUCCGAAUUGCCAUAGUAACAAAAGGAAAAGUGUGUGCGCCAGAGAGAGAGACAGAGGGAAGCUUGUUGCUUCUCAUCAUUUGCGCUUUUCAUCUUGCUGGUGGAUCUCUUUACUAAUACUAAUAACUGAUAAUGAAGGCUUUUUCUGUGGGCUUUUGUGUUUGUGCAUUGGUGCAGCACUCUGAAAUGCUGAAUAAUGGAAACAUGAAUCGGCUUGGCUCUAGGAAUUCAGUGCUCAAAAGCCACUGCUAAUACUUUUCUUGAAAUUGACAUUGUUCUGCUUUCGACGAAACACUUGUGUGAGAUUUCAGUGUCAUGUUUUGGUGGGAGGAAGAAAGGGUCUGCUGCCUUGGUCUGAAGCAAGACAGUAUGCCUGAAGGAGCGUCUCCACUCCCAUCAUUCAUCCUAGGCACUAAGGUCCAGCUCUUAGGGCCUUCUGGCGGUUCUCUCACUGCAAGGUUACAGGGAACCAGACAGAGGGCCUUCUCGGUAGUGGCACCUGUCCUGUGGAACGCCCUCCCGUCAGAUGUCAAGGAAACAAACAACUUUCUUGACUUUUAGAAGACAUCUGAAGGCAACCCUGUUUAGGGAAGUUUUUAAUGUUUGAUGUUUUAUCAUGUUUUUAAUAUUCUGUUGGGAGCCACCCAGAGUGGCUGGGGAAACCCAGCCAGAUGAGCGGGGCACAAACAAAUAAACAAAAUUAUAAUAAACUCUGUGGUAGAUCUUGGAGAAGGGUGGCUUCCUGUACUCUUGGUCUUGUGGCUGGGUAGAUUGUACCUACAUCUUUCUGUAAAUUAUGCAAGGGGUUGUGCUACAUCCAUGUAUUUUGUGAUCAUUGCUAAUACCAUAUGGAAGACUUAACUAUUUCUGCCCUGUAUCGCUUUCACAUGUGUUCAUUCAUAAGUCUAUUCUGUACCAUUUCUGAAUCAAUCUGUUGUUGUUGUUGUUUGUUUAAAACAAAGUCCACAUGGAAAUAGGCAGUUAAAUGCUUAUUUUCUAUAAACAUAUUUUCUCCCAAAAUAUUUAUAACAGAGCACAACUAAAAAAUAUAUAUGUUUUGCUGCCAUACCAUGCUAUAUUAUACUACACUGAAAUGUUUAAAUGUUUCUUUGAUUUAUCUUGAAUCUUCCCACCACACUUGCCAUUCUUUCCUGCCGCACCAGUGUGGCACACAACACACUUUGAGAACCACUGGCUUAAGCCUAAAGCCUGCUAUGUUUGACCUGCGUUACCCUUUGUGAUGUGGAAGUUGCUUGAGUGUAGCAGGUUUCCCCGCCGCAAAUUAAUUUGAGACACAUUUACCCCAGGGUGACAACUUUUCAGUUCCAUCUUUUUUCCCUCAUGAAUAUGAUGAAAUGCUAAAGGUUAACUAACUGCCUUAAAAUGAAUUUGUACGUACAGUUAGCUGAGAUUUGCGCAAGAAGAAUAUAAAUUGUUGUUGUUGUCGUUGUUAAAUUUAUAUGCUGCCCUUCAUCCGUAGAUCUCAGGGAGGUUCACAGCAUAAAAAUACAAAAAUAAAAACACAAAAUACAGAAUAAAAUACAGAACAGGAACAAGAACAAAACAAACCAAUAACCUCAAUUGUUGUUGUACACUUGUACAAACCACUACCUAGGAGGGUCAGGGCUAUGAGCACCAACUAUUGCAGGCAUAGGCAAACUCGGCCCUCCAGAUGUUUUGAGACUACAAUUCCCAUCAUCCCCAACCACUGGUCCUGUUAGCUAGGGAUGAUGGGAGUUGUAGUCCCAAAACAUCUGGAGGGCCGAGUUUGCCUAUGCCUCAGCUAGUGAGAUGCAUUCCUAGGCGCCAAAAGGCACUUAGUUGUUAGCAGGCCAAUUCAGUUGUGCUGAUUGAAUACUCAUACAGUCAUACCUCGGGUUGAAUGUGCUUUGGGAUGAGCUCGUUCGAGUUGCGCUCUGCGGCAACCCGGAAGUAACGGAGCGCAUUACUUCCGGGUUUCGCUGCUUGCGCAUGUGCAGACGCUCAAAAUGACGUCACGCGCAUGCGUAGAAGCGCCGAAACGUGACACGCGCAGACGCACAGACACGGGUUACGUUUGCUUCUAGAUGUGAACGGGGCUCCGGAACGGAUCCUGUUCGCAUCUAGAGGUACCACUGUAUUUAGAUUUGUAACUUCAAUUUAAGAAGCCUGCUAUCGUGGCAGAAUUCUGUAAAUGGAUUAGGCAGCUGUGGUGCAACAUCACUUUUUAACAAAUGUGUUGGCCCAUGUAAUAUUGGGUUUUCUAGUAGGCAAACAAACAACAACAGUCAACCUGGCAGCAAUGUACCCUUUGUGCAACUUGUUCCAUAAGUGCCAAGGGAGUACAUGACUCCUUGGGUAGCCUGCUUGAAAUGAUUUUGCUGAAGGAUUAUGGAUCUCUCCCCUCCUUUUAGUUCCUCGUUAUUUCCUACGAUGUUUAUGAAUUUAUACAAAGCUCGACAAAGGUCGACACAGAGGUUAACGCUAUACAAAUCUGAUUAAAAUUAGCUGCGCUGUUUUCAAAGGUCAGGUGCGCUCUGUGGAUAUUCUUAGAGAUUAUAUUGUUUAUUCUGCAUAUGUAUACAUCUUAAAACUCUACAAAGGUCAUGUGGAGAGCUGGUUUGUAGAAUUCAGAGAAAGGCAGUUUAAUACCUUAAUAACCUGUAUUGAGCUGAAACAAUAGUCAAAACUAGCUAUCUGAUUCAAUGGUGGACUUUGAUGGUAGAACGCUUAAGUUGAACCAGUUCUCUUUAUUUGUGUGUGCCACGUUGUUAAUUAAAGUGUGGCGGUGAUAGAAUUUUAGUUGCUUGCAGCAUUGGAAAAUUUACCAGUUUUUUUAAAGGUCUAAUAAUCGGCAUUGGUUACCAGUUUUGAACUGGGUGGGGUGCAAGAGUCCUGCCUGUUUUUAAGUGCUGCUCAAAGCACAAUGAUACUUGUUGUUUGUGUGUGCUUCAGUCUCCCUUCUGAUGUAGCUUGUGUGACGGACAGAUGAAGCAACCAAUCAGGAGUGAGUGGCAAGCAAAAAAAAAAAAAUGGAAUGUGACUGUUUAACUAGCAGAUAGCGCCAGGCUAAGGAAGCAGCUGGGCGGUUAUGGGUUUGCUAGGCAGGACAAACCAUGUCUUGAAUUUCCUUAGGGAAAGCAAUAGAUUGCAGAAAGGAGCCAGAAGCAUUUUACAGCCAGAAUAAAACAGAUAGCCAUUCUAGGAGCAAUUGGAUUUAUUAGAAACAGAAAGUUAUGAGCAAAGUUCUUAAUUACAUCUGUAAAUGGAAUUGUGACUGAAACCAAGUUCUGUGCUUUUAGUAGCGAAACCUCUAAGCUUUAUCCCUCAGAGAGUGCUUGUUAAUAAAAUUCCAGUUUUGUUUCCAUUGUGCCUCAUUCUUAAUUUAUUCCCAGUUCAAGAAACAAGUGGUCACAGUGAUAACCUACAUCACCACCCCCCAAGACAACAACAAGAGUCCUUAUUUCUAGACGCCAACAUGCACAUAGCACCUCUGAAUUCAUAGUUGUUUCUGACAGGGAGCGUCACAGCACCCCAUAUACUCAAAGGUAUUCUGGUGAAAGUGAAGUAGGAGGGUGAGGUGCUUAGAAGCUUGCAUUUUGAUUUUCAGUCACCCCAGGACCACCCUUAAUAAUAAUACAACACUACCAAAAAUUGGAAGGGCUUUAUGGGCACCAGCAGGUUCCAUCUGAGGGUGCUAUGGUGCCCAUUGGCACCACGUUGAGGACUCCACUCUUGGAUAACAUGUUCAACUGUGAAAGGAACCAGAUUCUUUAUUUCCAAAGAUGGCCCGAAGUGCUUAUUUCAAAGGAUUUGCAAAAGUUAUGGUAAUUACUUAGCUAUGGUAACUUGCCCUGUAUUGGUAUAUAACAUAUUAGUAAGUUAAAAUAAUUCAUUUGGAAGAUAUUGGGAUUAACUUGUGUGUGUGUGUGUGUGUGUGUGUGUAUUACAAAGACUCCCUUAGAACUGUAAUAUUCAUGCUCAUUAAAAUUCAGGAGGUCUAAUAAUAAAGCCACAAAAGGAUACAAGUAUGAGUCAGUGAAGCAUGGCUAAUUACAGCAGUUUUCAAUCAUGCAACCAACAAUUGGCACGAAACUAGGUUUCUAUUAAAUACAUACUUCUGGCGAUAUUUUGUGUGGAGGGAGAGGCUGCGAUCGGAAAGGCUCUUAGCAUUUUAUUUUUUAUUUUUUUGGCCAUAAAAACAGUGAGUCUGUUACAUAAGCAUUGCAUUCUGCAUUGGCAUUUUGUUAUCAUUCCUUUGCCCCCAUGAUGCUGUUUGCAUCGAUUUUGGUUUUAAAAGCAAGGUACAGAAGUGAGUGAAGAGUCUUAAAAGACCAACUGUAAUGGCUCUUCAGAUGUAUUCUGCAAUGUUUCUGUUAGGUCUCCAAAGAUGUUUCUGUUGUUAAGCCUAAUGAGUGGAUUACGUUUGUUUUUUUCUGCCCAAGAUCAGAAUUGACAUAAAUCUCCACCUCCCUCCGAGAUUUGUCUGCGGGAAAGAGAACUUCCAGGAACAAAAUUAUGUACUUAGUGUAAUCCUGGGGUAAUUCGCUCCAAAUGUUGUUGGAAUCUCAGCUCUCAUCAGUUUCAACCAGCAUGGCCAAUGGUCAGGGAUGAUAGAAGUUGCAGUCCACAAUUUAUAGACAGCACCGUGCUGGCUAGUUCCGCUUGCUGUAAGCCUAUGUACCGUAUUUUUCGCUCUAUAGGACGCACUUUUUCCCCUCCCAAAAUUAAGGGGAAAUGUGUGUGUGUCCUAUGGAGCGAAUGCAGGCUCCUUGGCUUCAGCGAUAGCAACGCGAAGCCUCCGAAGCGCAGAGGGAGAACUCCCUCCGCGCUCCGGAGGCUUCAUGCUGCUUUCGCUGAAGCCUGGAGAGCAAGAGGGGUUGGUGCACACCGACUCCUCUCGCUCUCCAGGCUUCAGGGAUAGCCACCUGAAGCCUUUGGAGCGCAGCGGGAACUCGCGCUGCGCUCCGAAGGCUUCGGGUUCCUUUUGCUGAAGCUGGGAGAGCAAGACUCUCCCGGCUUCAGCAGAGAGGGAGAGCUGCGCAGCAGCCCUUCAGCAAAGUGGGAGGAGAAAUGGAAGGGGCUCCAUUUCUCCUGCCACUUCGCUGAAGGGGCGCUGAGCAGAGAGGGGGAGAAUUUUUUUUCCUUGUUCUCCCCCUCUAAAACAAGGUGCAUCCUAUGGUCGGGUGCGUCCUAUAGAGCGAAAAAUAUGGUAUGUCUGCUCAGGAACAAGUGCCACUGGGUUCAAGCAUACUGAACUUACAGGUAAAUCUGUUUGGUAUUGCAGCAUUAACAGAAUGGGCAAAAAACAUGUAUUUUCUGUACUAUUCCCCCUUAGAGCAAUGGAGCACCAUCCAGCUCCAUUGCUUCCUUUAAAAAAAAAAAAAAAUAUUAUUAACAGACCAAUCAAAUCAAAUCACAUGACAUAAAUUCCGAAUUACAAAGCCGAAUUUUAAAUUUUUGUUGAGGGGACCCAUAUUUCAAGUUCCGAAGGGGGAUUCCGAUCGUCUUCUUGCUACUGCGUUAAUAUCCAAAUCAGUCCAAAUAAAGUUCAUAAUUCUAUCCAGUCUUAUCUUGCUGUUUCCACAUCUCAUCUUGUUCAUACAUUUUUUAUUUUUUCCUUAUGAUCUCUUCUGGUAAUCUCCUUAAGCAGAUAAACACCAAUUGUAAUCCUGUGUGAAUUUUUCCGUUCGUCCAAUCCUCAUAUCGAGAUGGUUUCCAUAUAUCAUCGCUUUCAUAAAUAACAUCGCUCUUUCCAUCAUUUAUCUCGCAAACUGUCGUUCUUGAGUCCCUCUGAGGACACAAUAUAAAAGCAGCUCUAUUCCUCCUCCCAGACCCAAGUCCUCUGACAGAGCUUGCCAACAUGGCGACGGUAUUUUUAACUGCGUUAUUCCAAAGCUCUUAUGCAUUCCACGAUCUUCUUAAAACAUGCUUUGGUUAGAAAAUUUAUCUCCACACAGUCUUAAAUCCACAACUUAAGUCAUUAAAACGACAUUUCUGACUUGUGGGGGGGGGGAUUCUUGUUUAAUCACAUAGAGGAAAGAAAGGAAAGUUUUUUCCCCCUCCUCCAUCCAGUCCCUUUGCCAUACCGAGUCUUGGCGUAUCUUCUCAUGAUUUAUUCUUGUUCCUCCAACUCGUCUUGUUUAUCAGAGAUCUCUUCAGUUAGCAGUCUUUACUCCCCCUCCUUCCUUGAAAUAUGUGCAUUCGCUUCCUCCUAAUUGAUUCUUUUGAAGUUCUUGCAGCUAGUGGCGCGGAUCAGAGACAGCGUCCAGGAGCGCCGAGAUCCCACAGGAGGACAUUCUGCCUAGUGCCCCCAUCCCCACAAAUUCGGGGGUGGUAUAGGGCACAGCAGGCAAGGGCAGCCCCCCCACAACCUUGGGGGGGGGUAGGGAGGCUAUUUACUCCCAUCACAGCCUCCUAAUUACCUCGUGUGGGUCGGAGAGAUGUUAUUGUCAGCCAUCUUCCGAUGCGCCCCUAGUGGCCCCUGCAGCUCCAUUGCUUCCUGUGGGAAUUCCUGUAUCCGUUUUCAAAGCAUGUGGGGUCAAAGCAACCUCAUGCACUAAUCCACUACAGCCACUACAGCUGGAUUGCACAUUUUGAAAAAAGAACAUGAAUCUCUUUUAGAGAGACAGAGGCAGCACUGCAGCCUUCAGACUACUUAGUACAGUGGUACCUCGGGUUAAGUACUUAAUUCGUUCCGGAGGUCCAUUCUUAACCUGAAACUGUUCUUAACCCACUUUAGCUAAUGCCGCCACGCCGCCAGAGCACGAUUUCUUUUCCUAUCCUGAAGCAAAGUUCUUAACCUAAGCACUAUUUCUGGGUUAGCGGAGUGUGUAACCUGAAGCGUAUGUAACCUGAAGCAUAUGUAACCCGAGGUACCACUGUAUGUUCUUUACAUAAUGGCAACAACAACAAAUGCCUGUGUUUUCCAUUAAAAUUUCCCGGGAUUUGGCCGUCAGGAGCCCAUGUUAGAAGUGGUGAAUUCCGAAAAAAAUAGCCAAAGAACCUCUUACAAAAAGAAAAGAAAAGCUGAACAACUUUUGUAUCCAGAUUUUCACUUUCUGAAAUACAGCCAACCCUACAGUAGAAGCCUCUGUGUUCUAAAUGCCAUAUUUCCCCGUGUAUAUAAGACGCCCCCAUAUAUAAGACGACCCCUAUUCUUUGAGCCCAAAAUUAAGAAAUAAAUAAUCACAACUUUCCGUGUAUAAAACAACCCCCCAAUUUUAAACUUUAAAAAUUGGGAAAAAACCAUAGUCUUAUACACGGAAAAAUACAGCAGUUUUAAUUAUGUGCUGCUGUCUUCUGCUUUUUACUGUGUGUGGGUUUUUAAAAAAAUAAAUAAAUUAUAUAAGCUGAUUUUGAAAAACAACAGAUGUGCUCCUUGGGGAUGUGCCAGAUGAAAAUAUAAUUAAUAUUAAGUCUAGAAAUUGUUUAAUUUGGAUCUCUUACCUGCCCUUUGCCAUAAUACGUUCCCAGGCUGGGUUACAACAACGUAAGUAAUAUAAUUGGAAAAUAAAACAAAACCACGAACCCCAAACAGCCAUGAAUUAAUUAGCAAUUUCCAUGUAGGCACUGGCGGAGGAAGAGGGGGGCAGGGGGAGCGCACCGCCCCCGGGAGUGUGGUCCCGGUGGGGUGCCAUCGCAGCUGCCCCCCGGCACUGGGUGCCACGCCCCUGCAGGAGGCGUGCCACACCCCCAGGACGCACGCCACACCCCUGCAGGCGGUACGCCACGCCCCUGUCUGCUUUCGCCACUGCAUGUAGGUCAUAAAAUUUUACACCAACAUUAGAGGCCCGUAACCCCAGUCCCAGGGAUAAUAACAAUGAGGCUAGCUGUGUGAUACACAUAGCGUACCUGCUAAUACAGCAAUGUUGACCUUCUAUGGGUGGUAACUGGAACAUAUUGUGUUGGCUGCUGGUCCUUUGCUGUGCUGCCAUAGAAAGUUGCCACCAGAUCCUUGGCUCAUAAUACUGAGCCUUUCAGAGCUAUUGUUGUGGCAUCCAUGCAAAUGUGUCAGUGUGAAGUUUUAGAUUUAAUCGCAAUACAAUGGAUAGUGAUUCUCUGUUAGCCCAGAAGACAACCCCUCAAACGUAAACAGUUAUCAGCUCCUAGGAUCCAGUUGAACCUGACAGCGUGUCAGCGUCUAGGUUCAGAUCAAAAUCGCCUCCAGUUCCACACACAAAAACCUCCAGCAUUCAUAGCAUAAUAUUUAAAUGGAUCCUUAUAAACGCUUAAGGUUCUCAUUAGUUUAACAUUAGAGGACCAAUGAAUAUUAAUGUUUGACAUCAAAGAAAACAUCUAAAAAUCAAAGCAAAUAAACACCAAUUAUAUAAUGCUGCAAAACAUAAGGGGCAAGGCUGUAAUUGGGUUGGCAUCUUUAAUCUGUGAAGGCUGCUCAGUGUUAGACUUCUUGUUACUCUAAACUCUGAAAUAAUGACACAAAUGAAAACUGAAAGGAGUGGGCAGCAGGGAUGUGUUGGGUAUAUAGCCUGGCAACAUGUAACUCAGAUAUAUAUACACACACACACAGUGACCCCAAGGUAGAUUACUUUUAAUAUUUUAAAUACUUUGAGGGAUUCGGUAAUCCCUCAAUCUACUGCUAAAAAUGGCCGGUUGAUGUGCUACUAAAACAGCAUUCAGAUAAGUAGAUUAUAUCAAUACAGCCUCCAAAGCAGAUGUAUCUGAUUGUCGUAGCUUUUAGGUAGGUCUCUUUAUUUUGAUACACAUUCAAUAUUUAUAAAUGUUAAGGGGAAGCAGUUGAUCAUGGUUAGUUUGGGCUGGCUUGGAUGCAAGAAGAAUCGUUGGCGUUGCAUGGUAAAAAUGAGCUUUCCCCUAUCCAGGCUUCCACCUGCUCUGACUGACUUUGGUAUUUGAACCCAGACAAACUAUGAUUAAUCUUAAUUAUGGUUAGUGGAAAUGAAACAACUUCAAAUAAUACUUUUAGAACUAGCUCAUUUUCAUUAAGAUUCUCUGUAUUUUGUCUGGACACACUGAACUGUGGUUUAAUCUAAAAAAUGGAAGCAACCGGCCAUGGGUUUCAUGGCUAAACCAUAGUUUUGCGGUAUGUUCUCACACUAUUAAAAAUUAUAUAUUGUUAAGAGUUUGUACCAGACUCUCCAAAUUCCUGGGUCCAGUAGGGGUUGGAAUUUAGUCAAUUCAAAUGUUAAAAUAUAAGCCAGUUUCCUGACCAGGAAGUCAACUGUGGUGAUGGGCCAUUAGGAGGACAAAAGGAAGGUGAUGGACCAUUAGGAAAGAGACGGAGCUCUGUGCCAGAUGGCAAAUGGAGGGGCCCCUCCCUCAACUCAAGACAAAAAAGGAGAGUUUAAAGUAGAGUCUUAGAGUUGAGUUGUCCAUGAUGUGAUCUAGGGGGAAAAGGUAGCAGGCUGUUGAAGACAGAAAGCUAGAGAGAGGAUCGGAGCCAUGGCUGAUACAGUGGUACCUCAGGUUACAUACGCUUCAGGUUACAGACUCCGCUAACCCAGAAAUAGUGCUUCAGGUUAAGUACUUUGCUUCAGGAUGAGAACAGAAAUCGUGCUCCGGCGGCGCGGCAGCAGCGGGAGGCCCCAUUAGCUAAAGUGGUGCUUCAGGUUAAGAACAGUUUCAGGUUAAGAACAGACCUCCGGAAUGAAUUAAGUACUUAACCCGAGGUACCACUGUACCUAUUUGAAUCCAUGGCUGCAGCUAUGGGAGAAAUAAGUCCCUCUUGGGAUGUCAGUGGUGUGAACCCCUCCAUCGUAGGCUCAGGUUGUAUAUAUGUGUAAAUAAACCAUAUAUCAUAAAGACACCACAAUCUGUGCUGUGCCUCAUUUCGAAAAGGAAACACGAACCCUGGGUACGUGCGUCUGGAGCGCCUGGAUUCUUGCCCCAUUCAGAGAUUGGGAUGAUGCGCAACAAUAUAUAAUGGCUUGUAUCCAAAGAGAUGUGUGUAUACACAGUGCUGCUCCGUUUUUCUUCCUUUCUGGAAAUAGGCUCUCACAGAUUGCGGCAACAGAAACUCCCUGAUGUUCAGGGAUUUAUUUAUUUUUAGGAGGCUCCUUCUGGAAACCUAUGAGCAUUCUGUUGAAUCCUGACCAAUACCUUUUUUAAAGCCCCCUACCCCACCCAAAGUGGAAUCCAGCCAGAUGCAAUGCAUUUUUUAUUUCUUAAAAAUAAUUUAACGUCCUGUGGAAAUGUGUGUGGCAAGGUAUUUGGGCUGGUUAGUGCUCCUUAAGGUAGCAUCAGGAGCUGUCACUGUUGUAAACACCAUGAGACAGAGCAGUUGUACUGUGGCGAUUGGUGAUAUGGUAUUUCUCUCGUCAAACAGAGAUUUCAACAGAAUGUUGCUAAGGGAAGUUGGGCUGGAAUGACACUUUCCCUCAUUAGAAUGAAUACCGUCAGAUGGGUUACAUUCGGAAAUAUAUUCUGUGACUGGCAUUUUGAAGCUGUCUUUCCUUGUCUGGCUCUUCCAAACUUUUGUUCAGAACCGCUUAGAUGUUCCUCUUUCCUGAGGUAUUUUUUUCUAGAGGGGGGAGGGAUUAAAAAAUCAAUUGUCCACAUUCUUCCUCCUUUGUUGGGAUUCAUUCAUAUAAUCAUAUUGUUCAGCUGAUCUUUGUGAUGCCAGUGGAACUGCCCCAUAAACUACUUCCUAUUAGUCUUUAUUCCCCCCUCCCCCUGAAAAGGAGAGCCCAUGUGAUGCAGUGACAUUUCAUUAUAUUUUUAGCUGUACACGUGAGAUGUUUUAUUCCAGAGGUCACCGACCGUUUUAGGCCUGUGGGCAUAUUUAAUAAUAAUAAUAAUAAUAAUCUUUAUUGCGGUCCAUCGACCCAUAACAUGGAUUCAGAAUAAAAUACAGUUUCAUACAGACAACCCCUCAGGGAAGGGAGACCGAAGCGUUAUGUUGAUCUUUGAUUCGUAUGACUACUGAAAGAAACUUUGCCACUGUGAUAUCAUUGGACUUGUUGUCCAGAAGAUAUUUGAUAUAGUAGGCUUCAGAUUGACCUGGCCGAUUUGCCAAUAGUGGUUUAAUCAAUAGUUCCCUAGCUUGAUCAUAUUGUCCGCAAGAGGGCAUAUUUGGAUUUUGGAGCAAGUGCCUGGUCAUUUCUCUCCCCUCUGCACAAAAGAAAGUGUGUAUACACAGGGUAAAAAGGAUCGGGGUAGAAAGUUAGACCCAGUAGAAAUAUUCUGAGCCUUCAAAAACACAUGGAGCUAAAACAGAAAAUGGGGGAGAGCAUCACUCAAAGAUGUUCACUGUCUCAAGAGGGCAGUAGCUGGGUGUGGGGAAGGAGGGGUCUGAGGCCUGGGGAAUACCUCAAUAUGCAAAUAUGCAUAUGAUAUGCAUAUUUACAAAGAUGUGUUAAUCACACAGGAACGCCAUCAAAAGGGAACUGCUAGCAAAUCAUACAUCUCUCUCCAUACCCUAUUUUCUUUUAGUUUACAUUUGUUUUGUUCUUUUAGGGUUUAGCUGGAGGUGUUAGGGGGGGAAACAGAGCACUCUAGAAGUUAGUUAUAAUUUCUAUGUGGAUGGGGGUUCCUCUCUCUUAUGUCUUACAGCUAGUGCUACAGACUUUUUGGUAGCAGUGGUGCCGGCAAUGGGCUGAGAAGGAGAGACAGCUAUGUCAACUUGUCCUAAUUCUAGCCCUGAUCCUCCAGUCGUACUGUAUAAAUGCUUCUCUUGAGCUGUUUGCAGAAGAGCAAUAAUACAGAAGUGUUAUGAGAAACCACACAGUAGGAAGACUACCUUUGAAUUGUGGCCUUCAGAGACGACAGUUUUAGCAUAUCCAUGUUGCGUCCUGUUCAGGGGAGAAGCUACAAGAAUAAUUGCUAAUCUGGAAAAACAGGUAGAAUUGAAUGAAACAGGAGGUUUAUGAAACUGGGGGUUCUAGAGUUGUCCAUGCAGUGGAAGACACAGCAGUUCUGGGCAGAGAAGACUAAUUAAGGCUUUUGAUAACCUAGAUGAGUGUGAGGUCAACGUGGAAAGAGAAUGAAGAAUGGUAAUAUGAUUUUUCUUCGGCCAGAGCAGGGUGGGGCACACCAAAGAAACUAGGUGCAUUUAGGAUUAGAAAUUGAAUUAAAUAUUUCCGGAAGUUAGAAUAAGGGAAACCACAGGUCCAAUAGGGCAAAGCCUUUCUUUUUUCCUGCCAUGUGUGCAAUGGAAAAAUGAUUAGAAUUUCAGAUGAGGAUUGCCUAGAGAAACUGACACUUUAAAACAUGGUUUGAAUCUGGCUUUGUGUUGUAGCUGUUCUCCAUUCGGCCGUUGGAGUGCUUGGUUUUCUCGAGUCUGAAUGCUCAGUGUCUCUGUGUGGAGAAACAGCGCUGGACCUGCGCAAGCAGUUUAGGGGAUAAUCUGGGGGGAAAGGCAACGUAAAGAGGAGAAGACAGAGAAUAAAGUUGCAUUGCAGAGGAUGGUACGAGAGAGUUGUUAGGAGUAUAGAGUCAAAAAAACCCCACAUCCAUUCACCAAAAUCAUUAACACUUUGGCAAGCCAGUGACUCUCUUGGGCUACAAUCCCAAAGCACACUUUGGCAGAAAAAAAAAGUCUGACUUCCAAGUUAAAAAAAAGAAAUGUAAUUAAGAUCAGGUUGUUCGUCUCUUAAGAGCAUCGAGAAUCCAUUUAUGGCUUCUCACAUAUGGCCUUAUUGCGUCAACAGUUGCAUUCUCUCUCCAUCAGGCUGUGCGCACUGACUAGUUAUUACCACUACAAUGAAGAUUUUGCUAGCACAUAAUUUCACUGAUUCAUUCUGAACUCACCAUGGCAAGAAAUAAUCCUGAAUGCCUUCGCCUUACUGCCGAGGCUUCACCAGAUGCUGUUGUACCAGUAAAGUUUCAUUGCUGAGCAACUGUAGUAUAUGGAGCCAUCUGGGGCUGCACCAUGUAGAUUGUUUGAAGUGGAGAAGCAGCAGAAUUCUAGUUUCCUUCUGCCUGCCUGCUGGGCAGGAAUCUCCUGGGGGUGCUGUGGAGCAAGGUGACCCAACCUUUUAAAAUAAAACAAUAUUCAUUUUAUUGAUUUUUAUUUAAAGUAUUUAUUGGCUGCACGUCAUCAGAUUUCUGUUCUGCAUACAAAAUUGAAAAUAAUUCAAAAAACACAAAUGGAUGGUUUUUUAUUUUUAAAAAAGUCCAAUGGUGAAAUAAAUUAUAGAAGAAGCUAAAACACAACACAGCUAAGUAAGAAAAGCAGUUACUACCAAAACUAAAUAAAAAAUGCAAACAGGGAAAUCUCAGCCUAGUGCUGGAAAGAUAGUAAUGUUGGGACUGAAUGUAGCUCUUUAGGGAAGAGUUCUAAAGUUGGGACAACACCGCAGAGAAGUGCCUCCGCAACAGCAUAAUUCCAAUUAUUUCAUUCAUCUCCCACCUUUUCUCCAAAGAGCUCAAGGUGGUGUACAUAGUUCUUCCAAAUCCACAUAGCAUACCUCUGUUAAAGAUGGUACUGGGAGAAGAUCUCUGCAGAAUAUCUUAAGACUCCUGUUUUAGGGGGAGUGUAUCAGGCUGGAAAUUACUCACCAACAGUACAGGGGUUGUAUCAAGUCUCAAGUUUGUUCAUGCUUAUCAGUUCCAUAAUUGUGCUCAAGGAGGUUGUGCACAGCCUCACAUCUGUUUGAUGUCCUUUGGCUACCAGUGACACCUCAUCCUAAAUCUCUGAAUGACCUCUCCCUACCAGCAAUUUCAUGUAGAUGCUAAAUCUCAUCGGAGAAAGAGUUGAUCCCUGUGGGGCCCUGAAGCAUAGCUGCCUAGGGAUCAAGGAGUAAUCUCCCAGUUCUACUUUCUAAAAUCAGCCCUCAGUUAGGAGGGGAGCCACUCCGACUGCAUGCCUUCAACACCCCAUUUCAGAGAGCCUGUCCAGCACACUGCUGCCAAUGGUAUUGAAAACCACCAUAAAAGUCUAGAAGAAUCAACAAGGUCACACAUCUCCUGUCUCUCCUAACAAAGGUUUAUCCCACAGAGUGAGCAAGGCAGUUUCCAACACAAACCUGAAAUCUGAUUGAAAAAGAUCUGUAUGAUCCAAGAGUAACUGGAGUUUCCCAGGGUUGUGUCUUAAUUUGUUCCAUUGAUUUCUUUAAAAAAAAAAAAAUAAUAGUUGAAAUAGUCACAAAAGAUAGCCAUUAUAUAUAUAUGAUACAUAGAAAUAGUUAUAAGUAAAUUGAAGACAAGAGUGAAAAUGCCUUUAAAAUCUUGCGGUGCUUGCUGGUAAAAACAAAGGAAGCGCGAAUCCUUUCAAAUAAUUCAUAUUUUCAUUUGCCAUCUCACAAAUGAACGAAUUCGGAGUUUAGCCGCUGGAGCCAAAUGCCAAGUCUUUUGAAGCCUUUCAUGAAUCGUUAGCUGUUCAGACUCUCUUCAUUUUAUAGCCAUUAAGUGGUGUGUGUUUUUUGCAGCUGUUAGAUUUCACACCAACUCAAAAUGUAGGAACUGAACUCUGCAAGAACCCCAACAAGACACAAAGCAGGUUCAGUUGAAGCGCGUCAGUUAUAUUACCAUCAAACUUCCACUAAAUGCGCAUAGUGCCAAAGAGAUUGUGGAACUUCAGUAGGCAGCGUUUCCCAUGAUUGCUUACCCACCUUUCACCAUAAGGUCACAGGGUGGAUUACAACACAAUAUCCGGUUAUAAAAAACCCACAAAUAAAACAGAUGCUGUUUUAAAAGCAAAGAAGAACAAUAUCAACUAAAAGACGAAGGUCCUACAACACAAAAUUUCUUAAUAGUCAUUCUUCCACCUUUUAGAUAUUGUUCAAAAGAAGUCCUCUCUGAGUCCAGCUUUCCUAGGCUAGAACUCCAUGUUAUAAGUGUUGGCAGAAACAAAGCGGCGCCUUUCUUUUCUUCUUUUUAGUGAUGAACUAAGUCUGAUGUUUCAUUUUUAACAUAAUAAACAUUAAAGCCACCGGGCAAGUGAAAGGUGUGAUUCCAAAAUAAAUGAUGGCAGUGAGGGAAAAUUUUGGGAAGCAUUUCCCUAAAGUUUGUAGAAGAGAUGGGUUUUGUUUUAACUUUGAGACAAUAUAACAAAGUAAAAAUAAAUAAAAAAGCCAAAAGUAUUUUGGAAUUCAGGCUCAAGAACAUACCAUGGGCAUCUUCCUUCACAUUAAGCUUCUGUGUUAUUACUUGCAAACAUGUGGCAGUAUAAUGAAGCAUGAGUUCUAGAAAGUUUAAAAACCUUUACUGUAUCAUUUCUGUAAAAGAGCAGCCACAACUCUGUGUGGUUUAUUGUCCCAGAAAAUGCAAGGAUCAAAUCACAAUUUCUCCAACGACUCUAGCAUGAUUGGGGUAGUUAAAUUCACAAACAUAAACAUCAACCAAAGCAAUAUAUUCAUUUCCAGCACAGAAAUCAUUCGAGUCCAGGAAAUUUCUAACACAGACUUUCUUAGAUCACUGGCAAUAUCAUUUAUGGGGGAUGUAAUUGCAUUGAAAUGAGUCAUCUGUUGUUUGUGUUGCAUAUAUUCAUAAGUAUCUGACACACUUUCUUCCAGAAGUUUCAAUAGGACUUGGCCAUUACUAACUUUUGACAUGCUGAGGUCCGAGCUAUUGCAUAUACCUUUCUAUACGAUGUUUAUGGAAAGGUGCCUAUUUGCCAUUCCAGGUAUAGAGAGAUUGGUGUAACUCUUGUCAACUGACUUUCUGGGUUUGCCUCCUGCUUCUCAGCUUUUUUCCAGCAUCGCUUUCUCUUGUUCUUGAUUGAUAUUUGUUUGUCAUUUGUUUCUUCAACUUCAAAGGCUUGAGGAACAUUUUGAUAACUUCAGUUCCUCUUUUUCCUAGGUCCGGGGACUUCUCAAGUCUUGACAUAUUCACACAUCUGGAAUUCACUCUUGCCUUCCUACAGAUGCUACCAGUGUUGUGGUUAUUUAAUUUAUUCAUUUAUCUCAUUCAGUUUAUGAAUUGCUUUCUAUAAGACAUUAGAAGGUUAUUUAAGAAUGAGUGAAGUUCCAUGGUCAGAAAUACUCAAAGGGAAGGGAGCCCUAGAUGGAUGAGAGUUUCUUAAAGGUGAAAUAUUGAAGGCACAAAAGCAGACAAUUAUAAGAAAGAAAAGUGGAAGGCACCUAAAGAAACCAGUGUGGCUGCAUAAGGAGCUUACAGAUGGAGUAAUCUUGUUUUCUCUUGCUCCAAUGGAUUCAAGUUAUGAAAAAGGAGAUUUCAACUAAGCAUCAUGUGAUGGGAUUAUGAGCUGCUUGUGCAGGAGACAGCUGUGUGGAGCAGCCCAGCAGGAACCGGAGAAGCAGGGCUGGAGCAGAUUCCCAAGCCUGGAAAAAGUGCCGGGUGUUAGAGGUCCAGCUGGCGCUGCAGGCUGGCGAGGCUGGAGGAAGGAGGCUCAAGAUGCAGACAAGGGAGAAAAGCCACCCAGCUCGCCAGAAGGUGCCCAGGAUUGGUGCAGGAGGAUGUGGGAGGCCACAAAGACUAUCAUAGCUUUCGGACAGAAAUGCAACCAUGCCCUCAAUCCUGCGGUUUGAUUGAUUUUUCCCUGAUGGGGAGUCACGGGUGGCUUUUUGUGGUUGGGCAUCUUGAAGGGCGAGAGACUGAGGUUAGGCCCCUGAUGGCAGCGAAUAGUGGCUCUAUAAAGACACCCGAUGCAGUUCCUCUCGCGCCCUGGAUCUGAUGUGUUCCAGCGAUAUUGACACGGGAGUGGUGCGCAGUCAGUUCAUGGCUUGCAAUCAGGGGAGCCGAUCUGUACGUGAGUACUGGACUGUGUUCACCAUGCUGUUAGACAGAUUGGGGUGGGACUUAUCAGCGGAACCCAUUCAAAUGCUCUUUGAAGAAGGGCUUUCUUCGGCUGUGACAGAUGAACUCCCCGGGCGCCAGGGCGGGUCUAUGGACCAGCGACCAAAUCAGCGCUGGCCAUAGGAGGCGCGCCGGAGGCGAGGCAUUGGAGGCGGGAGGGAAGGGAGCGUUGGAAGGAGUUCCGCAUUCCAGACAUUCCAGAGCCAACUGUCCCGCCGGCAGAGCCGAUGGAAAUCGAACAGCGCGCGCGCGGUUUAAAGCCCAGUGAGGGGAAGAAGGAUGGAAAAGGCGCCCGGAAAUGCUAUCUCUGCCAGCAGCCAGGGCGCUUUGCCAGAGUCUGCCCCCAGAGGAAGGAAUGGCAGGGAUGGUGGGAGCUGUGGAGGAAGAGAGGAAAAAUGCCGGGCAACUAAAGCCAGCGCCUGGGCUGCCAUUGUCAGGGCACAGCAGCCAGGCCAAAAAAGAGCAGUGGUGCCCGCCAGAACCUCUAAACCCGCCCUAGUGAUAGAAGUGACACUAGAGCUGCCAAACGGACACCCUCUAAAGAUAAGGCGCUGUUGGACUCAGGCAGCUCCUGCAAUUUCAUGAGCAAAGAGUUUGCAGCUGAACACCAGAUACAGACGCUCCCUUUAAGCAACCCCCUGCAGGUAACCACGAUCGUGGCAGGGGGCUGUUGGGAGGAGGGUCAGCUUGCAGACCGUCCAAUGAUAAUGGAGAGGUGGCAAGGCACACUGAACUGAUAGCCUCUAAUGUGGCCACCUUGUGGGAGGAGCUCCCAUUAUNNNNNNNNNNNNNNNNNNNNNNNNNNNNNNNNNNNNNNNNNNNNNNNNNNNNNNNNNNNNNNNNNNNNNNNNNNNNNNNNNNNNNNNNNNNNNNNNNNNNAUGGGAUUAUGAGCUGCUUGUGCGUAAAAUCGUAUUCCCUCAGAGUUUGUUCAAGUCCACAAACCUCUGUCUGUGACUGAGCCCCUCUGACAUGGCUCCUCUUAGUCACUAGAAGAUUCCGACAGUGGUUGCUUUCGUAAUCGCUUCCAACAUAAAAGCUCCUUAACGGAAACACGUCUUCUGGACUCUCUGCGUGACAGUUUCCGGCGAGGAGUGGGUGUCGCUACAGGAGGUCCGGAAACCUCACCACUGUUUUCGCUGGAAGUAUCUCUGAGCCAUCCCCCAGCUCCCUUUCCCUCAGUUCAGCUUGUCUCCCCUGCUGGUUUCCUCUUCCGCUGCUGAGUCUCUUCCAGCCUGUCUGAGCCCUUUCACCUCCCUCAGUUCAGCUUCUCUCCCUUGCUGGUUCCCUCUUCAGCUGCUGAAUCUCUUCCAACCUGUCUGAGUCCUUUCACCUCCCUUCCUUCCGAUGGCAGUUCCCUGACAUCCACCUCCCCUCCAGGGCCCCCUUCACCCCCUCUCGCCCCCUCCUCUACGGGCGGUGAGGAGGCAAAACCCGGAAUGAACUUCCUUCAUCUUCCGAUGUCUCGAACACUUCUCUCCACCUGUUGCGGUUCCUGGUCUCGAAGCACUCCUCCUCCUCCGAGUCCAUCUCCCCUUCCCCUUCCGAUUCUGGGAAUCCUUCCAACUCCUCCUCCUCCUCAGUGGUCCCAAAGUAUUCCCUCCGGAACCUCUCCACAGGCUGAGGUUUCCGUGGGAACCUUUGAUGGAACAUUUCUAUCAAUACCUCGUCAUUGAUAUCUUUGGCCAUUACCCACGUGUUUUCUGACUCCGGUUCUCCUUCCCACGCUACCAAAUACUCCACCUGAUUCCCCUUCCACCUGGCAUCAAGGAUUUCUGCCACAUGACUGCUGCAUUCUCUUUCUUCUAUGACCGGUCCCGAGUGUCCAUCCCUUCUCGUCCCCCCUCGUACGGUGACAGUAACGACCUGUGAAAUACUGGGUGCAGUUUCAUGUGGUUGGGUAACCGGAGCCUGAAAGCCACUGGGUUGACCUGUUGAAUGACCUCAAAGGGACCCAACCUCCUGGGUCGUAAUUUCUUACAACCUCCUUUGAACGGCAACCCUCGGGUUGCCAGCCACACCCUAUCUCCAACCCUUAUGGUUUCACCUUCCCUUCGGUUCUUGUCUGCCUGCCUCUUGUAUUCUUCCUUCGCCCUUUCUAAGUUGAGUUGGAGCUGACGGUGGAUUGCUUCCAUUUCUUCUACAAAAUGCUCGCCUGCCGGUGCGCUCCAUCUCUCCCCUUCUCCCCUGGGAAAGCCCUGGGAUGACACCCAUAAUUAGCCAAGAAGGGCUCAUCCCUGUGGACACAUUCUCGGCAUUGUUGUAGGCAAAUUCCGCCAGCGCCAACUUUUCUACCCAGUCAUUCUCUCUGUCAUUGACAUAACACCUCAGGUAUUGCUGGAGGACACCGUUUGCUCUUUCCGCCUGCCCGUUGGUUUCAGGGUGCCGGGCAGUCGAAAAGUUGACCUCCACCUGCAGUAAGCUCAUGAGCUUCCUCCAGAACCUGGAAGUAAAUUGUUUUCCUCGGUCUGAGACCACCCUCAAUGGCACCCCGUGCAACCUAAAAAUGUGUUCUACAAAUAACUUCGCUGUCUCUUCCGCCGUGACUGCAUGCGAGCAAGCUACAAAGUGGCACAUCUUUGUUAGUAGGUCUACCACCACCAUGAUGGCUGUUUUCCCUUUGGACUUCGGCAGAUCAGUCAUAAAAUCUAUCGACACUGCCUCCCAAGGUCGUUCUGGUGUUGGUAAGGGUUCUAAUAGCCCCGCCGGCGCCCGCCUUUCCCCUUUGGCUCGCUGGCACUGCUCGCACCCUCUUACAUACUCACGUACAUCCUCCCUCACCUUAGGCCACCAAAAUUCCCUGGUGACCAACCACAUGGUUUUGUGUUGCCCAAAAUGCCCGCCGUGGGGCUGUCAUGCAACUGCUUGAGUACCCUCCCCUUAAGUCUCCUUCAGGGAUAUACAGUGCCCCUUUGUAAUACAAAGCUCCAUUUCUUUCCUCGAAACCCCUUGAUUCCUCUCCCUCAUCCCUAAGACCUCUGAGCUUAUUCUGGGCGUAUUCAUCAUUCUCUGUUUCUUCUACCAGUUCUCUUUGUCCCACCAAUGCCGCCCCACACACCCAGCGGUCCUCUGGAAUGACAUGUCUCUCUUCGGGUGCUCCCUCCCCCUCCCAAUAUUCAGGUUUGCGUGAGAGAGCGUCCGCCCUAAUGUUCUCUGGGCCUGGCACGUAACAAAUCUCAAAGUUAAAUUUGGAGAAUUCCUGGGCCCAUCUCACUUGCCGUUGGUUGAGCACUCGUGCCGUCCUCCAAUACUCUAGGUUCUUGUGGUCAGUGCACACUUGCACCUUAUGUUGUGCGCCAAUUAGCAGGUGCCUCCAUCUCCGGAACGCCUCAUGAAUGGCUAGUAGUUCUCGGUCAUACACCGUGUAGUUCCUCUCGGAUUUGUUCAGCUUUCGCGAAAAAAAGCACACGGUCUCCACUCUGACUCCUCCUUCCCUGGCUGGAGAAGCACCGCCCCAACCGCUCUGUCUGAUGCGUCAGUUUCCACUCUCAUCGGUUUUGUAAAUCCACAUGCAGGAGCUGUUGUUCCGAGGCGAAGGCCCUUUUUAGUUCCUCAAAUGCUUGCUCCGCCUCCUCCGUCCAAACGAACUUCUUCUUACUGCUGAGACAGUCCGUAAUGGGCGCCGUCAGGUGGGCAAAGUUUGGGAUGAACUUACGAUAGAAGUUCCCAAACCCUAAAAACCUCUGCACAUCCUUCCUUGUUUUGGGUGUUUUCCAUUCCAGUACCGCCUGGACCUUGCCGGGAUCCAUGGCCAACCCCUUGUCAGACAGGCGAUACCCCAGGAAUUCCACCUCCUUGGUAUGAAACUGACACUUCUCCAGUUUCACCCACAGCUGGUUGGCUUGCAGCCUGCUCAACACUUCUCUGACGUCUCUCACAUGCUGCUCCUCAUUCUCAGAAUACACCAACACGUCGUCUAAGAAGGCCACACAAUUCUUGUAAAGCAACGGCCCCAGGACGUGGUUCAUAAACGAUUGAAAUGUUGCGGAGCCUGCUUGUAGACCGAAGGGCAUAACUAAGUAUUCAAAUGCCCCUAAAGGGGUGAACAUGGUGGUUUUCCAUUCAUCCCCCUUCCUUAUUCGUAUCAGGUUGUACGCCCCCUUAGAUCCAGCUUGGUGAAAAUCUUUCCCUUUCGCACCCUUGUCAAAAUGUCGUCAAUCCUGGGCAUCGGGAAGGCCACUGGUUCUGACACUGCAUUUAAGGCCCUGAAGUCACACACCAGUCUCGGCUUGUUCGUGUUUUUGUCCACAAAAACACUGGGCUGCCCCACCGCCCUGGACUCUCUGAUGAACCCUCUCUUCAGGUUCUUGUCAAUGAACUCUCUUAGCUCCUGCAUCUCUCUGUCUGACAUGGCGUACAGCUUGCCCACAGGGAGCUGUGCCCCAGGGAGCAAAUUGAUUUGACAGUCAAAGGCUCUAUGCGGUGGUAGUUGGUCAGCUUCCCUUUCGCUGAAGACGUCGCGGAGAUCUGCGUAUUGUCGUGGUACCUUCACGUUCUCCUUCACUUCAGUCCCUGCUAGGGUGGCUUGGGCCCCUGCCAAAACCUUUCCCUCUUUGCAAUGUUCUAAGCAAUGUGCUGACCCAAAAGAAACCACUCUCUGAUGCCAGCCCACCAGCGGAUCAUGUAACGCUAGCCAGCUCAUCCCCAAUAUAAUGGGAGCUCCUCCCAAGGUGGCCACAUUAAAAGCUAUCAGUUCAGUGUGCCUUGCCACCUUCAUUAUCAUUGGGACGGUCUGCAAGCUGACUUCUCCUCCCAACAGCUCCCUGCCAUCGAUCGUGGUUACCUGCAGGGGUUGCUUAAAGGGAGCGUCUGUAUCUGGUGUUCAGCUGCAAACUCUUUGCUCAUGAAAUUGCAGGAGCUGCCUGAGUCCAACAGCGCCUUUAUCUUUAGAGGGUGUCCGUUUGGGAGCUCUAGUGUCACUUCUAUCACUAGGGCGGGUUUAGGAGGUUCUGGAGUGGGCACUUUCACUGCUCUUUGGCCUGGCUGCUGUGCCCCGACAAUGGCAGCCAGGCGUUGGCUUUUAGUUGCUCCGGUAUUUUUCCUCUCUUCCCUCCACAGCUCCCACCAUCCCUUGCCAUUCCUUCCUCUGGGGGCAGACUCUGGCAAAGUGCCCUGGCUGUUGGCAGAGAUAGCAUUUCCGGGCGCCUUUUCCAUCCUUCUUUCCCCCUCACUGGGCUUUGAAACUGCGCGCGCGCGCUGUUCCGAUUUCCAUCGGCUCUGCCGGCGGGACAGUUGGCUCUGGAAUGUCUGGAAUGCGGAACUCCUUCCAACGUUCCCCUUUCCCUUCCCGCCUCUCCAAUGCUCUCGCCUCCUGGCGCGCUCCUAUGGCCAGCGCUGAUUUGGUCAGCUGGUCCAUAGACUCCGCCCUGGGCGCCCGGGAAAGUUCAUCUUUCACAGCCGAAGAAAGCCCUUCUUCAAAGAGCAUUUGAAUGGGUUCCGCCGAUAAGUCCCACCCCAAUCUGUGUAUCAGCAUGGUGAACUCAGUCCAGUACUCACGUACAGAUCGGCUCCCCUGUUUGCAAGCCAUUAACUGUCUGCGCACCACUCCCUUUUCAAUAUCGCUGGAAAACAUCAGAUCCAUGGCGCGAAAGAACUUCAUCGUGUCUUUUAAGACGUCACUAUUCGCUGCCAUCAGGGGUCUAACCCAGUCUCUCGCCCCCUUUUCAAGAUGCCCAAUCACAAAAGCCACUCGUGAUUCCUCAUCAGGAAAUCAUCAAACUGCAGAUUGAGGGCAUAUUGCAUUUCUGUCCGAAAGCUAUGAUAGUCUUUGGGCUCCCCCCCAAAUUUUUGCACCAAUCCUGGUACCUUUCUGGCGAGCUGGGUGGCUUUCUCCCUUUGUCUGCAUCUUGAGCCCUCCUCUCCUCCAGCCUCGCCGUCUGCAGCGCCAGCUGGACCUCUAACACCCGGUACCUUUCUUCCAGGCUUGGACCCGCUCCAGCCCCUGCUUCUCCGGUUCCUGCUGGGUUGCUCAUUAUUAUGCCGUCUCCUGCACAAGCUGCGUUCAAAGACUGUCGGAAUGCUGUGAUGGGAUUAUGAGCUGCUUGUGCGUAAAAUCGUAUUCCCUCAGAGUUUGUUCAAGUCCACAAACCUCUGUCUGUGACUGAGCCCCUCUGACAUGGCUCCUCUUAGUCACUAGAAGAUUCCGACAGUGGUUGCUUUCGUAAUCGCUUCCAACAUAAAAGCUCCUUAACGGAAACACGUCUUCUGGACUCUCUGCGUGACAGUUUCCGGCGAGGAGUGGGUGUCGCUACAGGAGGUCCGGAAACCUCACCACUGUUUUCGCUGGAAGUAUCUCUGAGCCAUCCCCCAGCUCCCUUUCCCUCAGUUCAGCUUGUCUCCCCUGCUGGUUUCCUCUUCCGCUGCUGAGUCUCUUCCAACCUGUCUGAGCCCUUUCACCUCCCUCAGUUCAGCUUCUCUCCCCUUGCUGGUUCCCUCUUCAGCUGCUGAAUCUCUUCCAACCUGUCUGAGUCCUUUCACCUCCCUUCCUUCCGAUGGCAGUUCCCUGACACAUCAGGAAGAACAGUAAGAGCUGUUCAACAGUGGAACAGACUCCCACAAGAGUCCUUGGCACCUCCUUCCUUUGAGGUUUUAAAGCAGCAUUUGGCUGGCCAUCUGCAAUGCAUGAGCCAGUUGAGAUUCCUCCAUUGCAGGGGGUUGGACUGGAUGACCUUCAGAGGCCCUUCCAAGUCGACAAUUCUGUGAUUUUUUUUUUUUUGGGGGGGGACACAAUUUCAUAUAUAAAAACAAUUUCAAAUCUAACAAUACAGAUGCAGGCUUGAAUAAAACCUCUGUGUAAAAGACUUGUUCAGAAAUUAGGCGCUGAAAAGGCAGUAGAGACAUUUUCUGUGUGAUACAAAAAGGAUGCAAUUGGAAAAGGGAUGUGUCACCAUGCUAAGGGCCCAAAUCUUGCAUUGUACAGAAUGGUCCUCCCAAGGAGAUGCUAUCUGCAGGAAGCCAUCUGGUGCGUUCUCUCACUUCCUACACUUGAUUAUUGCCAUUUUCUUCUUGUUAAUCUUCCUGUUUCUACUCUUAAUUCCCUCCAUCUUAGGUGCUUCUGCUUGUUUAAAGGUUUCUGCUCAUUGUUCAAGCUUGCAGUUUAAUAGGUUUCCACCCUGCCUUUCAAAUAAAAAUUACCAGGGUGGCUGACAUACAUUAAAAAUGCAAUACAAUAUAUGAGCAACAUAGCAGAGAAAAAUUAGAUGGCAGACAUUGGUCUUUUGUACCACGCUGUCGGUGGACUUCCCCUCUCUUCCUUUUUUUAAUUUCAGUUAUGUACAUGGUCUUGCACCUCUAUGUCUAUUUAUGUUGUUUUUGCUGUGUGCUCCUCCCUAUACCCUUCAUUCUACAGGCACUAAAUUUAAGAUUGCCUUCCCCCUGCUCCCACCAUAUGACUAGAAUGCCCUUCAGCCUGACCUACCUCUGUUUUUACAUUCAAGUAAAGUGUUAAAACAGCUUGACCCCCCUCUUUCCUUGUGCGUUGGCAUAUUUAUUUAUCAUAUUUGUAUGAUAAAAAAAUCGAAGACAAGAUGGCUUACAAAUCAAAAUAUGAACCGCAACUGAAAUUAAAAGAGCAUUCCGAACAAAAAACACACAAAACAAACUAAAAAGCCAGCCACAGAAUCAGCAUUGUAGAAACAUCACCAUAAAAUAGCUUUGUUAGUUUUCUUACAGUUUUGUGCAGCACUUUGCGUCGUGUAAGCCCCACUGAUAAACAAAACAAUACUACUGGGGGAAGUGGAAAGAGAGGCACCUGCCUGUGUCAUCUCAAUUGUCCAGUCAUUCAUCUCCAGGGGAAACACAUGUCUAGGUAUUUGCUGUUUGCUCGUGUCCAACCAGAGAGUCACUUGCAGUCACUUGCAGGACACUUGCAGUCAAUUUCAGGACUUUCACAUGACUAACACUGCAAAACAAAUUUUGUUUUCCUAAUGUUGAGUUCGCUUAGAUCGUUGCACGCUCCAAGCUGUCUUCCCUCUUUGUUUGACUCUGCUUGAUCUUGAUCAUCUACCAGUUUUGCCACGGAAAAACAUUUCCUGUGGAGGAGGAAUCUGGCAUAUGUGAAGAGGGAAACUCUUAUGGCACCUAGUCAUUGUUUGCAUCCUCCUACCUACAAAGCCACCCAUGUGUGGAUGAGCAAGCCUCUGUUAGCCGAGCUUCAUCAGCUCCAUCUUCGCUGUCUAAGAAUACAGAUUGACAAAAUAGCCCUGUUACAGGUUCCUCAAAGUUACCUAACGUGCAAUUAUUAUUUUUUUAACUCGCCUACUUUUUACCCAUAAGAAGGGACCUUACUAAAGCAGACUACUAAAAAGAUGUUGCAGAUAGGCUAGAAACAUGAUAGGCUGGUGGCCUGAGGCAUGAAAUGCUGUCUGCCGCCUCUGAUCGUUUGCUUAAUUUCUAUGCCAAAUAUGCAGGACAGGACGUCACACCCAGAAACGCAAUGGGCUGGCUCCAGAGUCACAGAUUGCUCCAUUCCUCUGCAGUCAAGCUGGGGGAAAGGGGCUUCCCUUCUUUUCUAUCCAGGUUGGAAGCCAAGCAGGUUGGCAAAAGAGGAACAAAGUACAGUCGUAUCUCGGAAGUCAAACGCCUUGCGACUCAAACGUUUUGGUUCCCAAGCGCUGUAAACCUGGAAGUGAGUGUUGUGGUUUGCUGAACGUUCUUUGGAACCCGAAUGUCUGACAUGGCUUCUGCAGCCAAUCGGAAGCCGGACCUUGGUUUCUGAACAUUUGGGAAGUCGAACGGACUUUUGGAAUGGAUCUUGUUCGACUUCCAAGGUACCACUGUACUCUGCUUCAUGUUCAUGAGCCUGCUUGGCUAUUGGCAAAACCUAUUGGUGUUUCACAACUUUCUGUCUAGUUGCAGAACCUUAGCCAGACCUAGCAGAGUAAACGCAGAAUCCACAGAAGCAAUUGGCGACUUGCCUGCAGACAGGAUAGACGAAGCAGGAGCCAGGAACUUGUAGUUAGGUGUUUAUUGUAUACAGUGGACUAUUUACAGGAACAGAACACAGAUCUUUAGCUUGCUCUCUCAUACACGACCCACAACUCCUACACUGACACACGGAACUCUGAACACUGAACUCCUGAACUACGAACUCACCAACUAACACAUUCCAGUUAGUAGGCCAUUAAUUAUCACUCCCUUGAGAGAGCAUGACCAAUCAGGGAGCUGUCUCCAUGCCUCUGUUAUCACCAGGCAGACUUACUCCUUCAGAUUGCCUUCUGGCUGUCUGCCAAACCUUAAUUGACUCUGUGUGAGUAGCUGCACGUACACAGAUUCCCAACAUUGGCUUCCCUCCUGGCUGUAGAGGGAAGGAAGACCCUUCCUCUGUGGCUAGGAUGGAAACUGAGUGGGUUGAUAAAGGAGAGACCCAUUGUUCUAUGUCUCCUUUUGGCAGCGCUCACGCUUGCCUGGAGGGAAUUCCAUGCUCUUAUAUGCCCCCUGUAAAUCUCCAUUGUGCUUUCAGUUUCAUCUGUAUGAUAGGUUGUUUUUUUUUAAAAAAAGAAAAGUCUUGUAGAGGUUACUUUCAGUGAGACCUGUGGUCCCUUCUAACGCUACAAUUCUAUGAUUUGCAUGUAUGCAUGAUUUCUUUUUGAAUGGUCUUUAUGUAGCCUGGAACUAUGGCACAGGUAGAGGUGGUGGUGUUAACCUUUUACACCUGUGUCAUAGCCCUGAUGAAAAUCCCUCCCAGCUGAAAGUGCUACUGAUGAUAGGAGGUUCUCUGAUCAAGCAAAUAGCUCCCAGAUCAGGGUACUGAUCUUUCUUGGCCUGAUGGGUAAGUGCUGCUGCCCCCCUCCCCAAUGCCAUGCUGCUCUUCUGGAUUGAAGAGCACACACCCCACAUGUGAGAAGAUCAGUUUAAGAUAGUUUGGCCAUAGGCCAUCUUGUAGACUUGGAGAUUACAGUCAUACCUCCGGUUGCGCACGUGAUCUGUGCGGGAGGCACGUUCGCAACCUGCAGUGUUCGUAGCCUGAAGUGCCGCAUCUGCACACGUGCAUGACGCGAUUUGGCGUUCUGCGCAUGUGCGUGAUGUCAUUUUGUGCUUCUGUGCGAGCGCCGAAACCCAGAAAUAACCCGUUCCAGUACUUCCGGGUUUGGCGUGGUCCGCAACCCGAAAACAUGCAACCCACAUAGCUUCGUAACCCGAGGUAUGACUGUAUAAGUAUUUUAAAUAAAUUUCCCAUUGAAGCCAUGUUUUUCUUCUUCUCUCCUUUUCUCUUGUACAUGAGAACUGGAUCUUCUGCUUUUGAAAAGUGAAAUUCCAGAUCUGUGACCGCAUUGAGGAUGCCCAACAGCAAUUGGACUUGUAGAGAAAUAGCUCAAAACAUGUUUGCCAGGGCAUGCCAACAGGCUGCAGUUUGCCACACACGUCACAGAUAUAUUGUGCAUUUAAUAUAUAAGCAUGCUGAGCAAUGGAAGAAGGCAUAUAGUACUUUCCAAAUGUAUAUCACGCAUUCUUCUGAGUGAAAAUUCCAGUGUGUAUUUUUGGAUAGGGAGAAUUGUUGAAAAUAAAGCAAUAGGUGACUGAAUGUGUUCUGUAUUCUGCAUCUCUAAGGGCGGCUAGGAAAGAGUUAUCCUCUUAAGUGUUCGCGGCUGAAGGUUAUAAUGUAGACCUAUGGUGUAGUAUUUAAUAAAUUGUACUGAUCAGCUGUUUACAUCAAAUUACCCUUGCUGUGAACAGAUGCAUGGUACGAAUGUUGUAUUCGGUACAAGAGUUUGCUUCUAUCAAAACAUAAUGGAAACAAAACCUGUGAGAUUAACUGGCACAGUUGGAGCAAAUGUGUUUUUCCAAGUAAAUCUUAUUGGCAUUACUUGCCUGUUUAUUUUACAGAGUAUGUUUCAGAUAUCCUUACAUUGCAUUUGUGCGUUGUUAGGAAAUAAUAAUAAUUCCGAGAUGGGAGAUUUGCUUGUUUGAAAUGGCUUUUCUUGGAAAUCUCUCCUAUUGUUGCAAGAGUUUGUUUGCAGUGAAAGAUACAAAUUUCUAAUUGGGGGGAAUAAGGUUUGGAUUUUAUUGAUGAUAAUGUUUAUCUUUACUUGCCAAGAGAAUGUGGAAGGUUUAAUUGCCCUGUGCAGCUGGGGGGUGGCGGUGGAAAAGAACUCCCAUAGCAGAUGCAAGGAAGAUGCCUGACGUCAUGACCCACUAGGGAACUGUUUGGAGUGAAAAGCACUUGAUAUCGCUGGAGAAAACCUAUGGAAUCUGCCACUCAUGUUGGCAUUACCAUUCCUGCAAUCCUUGGGCUUGCGGGAGGAUUCUUCUAACACUUGUCACAGUUUGAUUUUGAACCUAGAUAUGAAGCUAAUAGUUUCUAACGGUUUUUCAAGUGCCACUGAAUCAAAUUACUGAAGUAGAAAGGAACGGUUGACAUUCUGCUUUAAAGUGACCGUAAGUUUGACCCAGUUCUACUGCAGUGGUGUCAUCACAAUUGUAUCUCAUUGCUGUAGGUUCUCGGAUGCUGACAGGCGGAACAAGUUGCUUUAGCUCGCAGUGCUCAGCUGUCAUACAGAACAGCUUGCAGAUCCUUACGUGAAUGAAAUGUGCAGGGAGUUCCUCUCUCUCUCUCUCUCUCUCUCUCUCUCUCUCUAUUUCUGUCUCCCUGGUGCUCACUUUCUAGGCUACCAGUGAAACUGUAUGUGCAUGGAAGGAAAAAUAGGCAGAAGGAGGAAGAAGAAGAAGAAAAAGAAGUGCAUUUGAGAAAUUUUGUUUUGGCUUCAGGGAUGCAAGUGUGUGCCUUUCUCCAGUAAGCUCGACAUUUUGUGAGGUUUAAUGAAGAAGGCUCAGAGGUACCCAGGAAGCUCAUUUGGGGAGAAGGACCUUGAUUAUUUUUACACUGUCUGAGCAGACAGAUGAGACGCUGUCACCUUUUGUCUUGCUCUUGUUAGCGUCUCACACAGUUGAACAGAGGCCAAGGAUGCUGACUUCUCAUAUUUAUUGAAUGAUUGCCACAUACUUGAAACGAGGACAGCAGAGAUUCCCACACACCAUGACACUAAGUCAUAAAUAGAUAGGAACAAAAUAACUAGGCAAUUAUAUAUAUAUACACAUAUAUAUAUAAUCUUUUUUAUUGAUUUUCAAAAAUAUAAACAUACAAAAUAAAACAGUACAAAAUCCAAAUAUCGAGAUUACUCUGAAUCUCCUGAUUCCCCUCCAUCCCUCCCAUGGGUCCUUUUGAUUCUAUUUUAAACUGCAUAUCAGUACUUCUCCAAUUUUUCAUCUUCCUAAGUUAUCUAAACGUUCUGUUACAUUAGAAGUGUAUUUAAAGUAGGCAAUUUUUUCAAAGUGGCAGGAUCAAAUGCCAAUUAUGGAAUGAAGCAAAAUUAGAACCUGUUGUUCCAAAAUUUGAAUUCAUCCAGAUUGCAUUAUUUGGAAGCAUUAUUGAUUUUUUUUUACAGAAUAUAUAUUUUUAAGGAACAGCGAUGAAAGCACAGUGAAUAAAUUAAAAAAGAACAACUUAGUAAUAUUUAAAAAACAAACAAAACAACCCAAGCAAAAUCAAACCACAAAGUGGUGGAUAAAAUCCAGAGAGGUUAGGGGCACAGUGCUGGCUUGUCUUUGUAGGAGUGCAGGUUGUAUUCUACUGCUAGAGGCCAAGGUGGCAUACAUGCCCUGUGCGGUUCUGUCUGCAAGCUCUUAGCCUAUCUACACAGUAAGAGAGAAUCGAAGAGGCUAAGGCAGAAUAAAUGCGAAGGGGAGAAGGCAGGCAGAGAAAAGGAAUGGGGAACAGAAUGGGUGUACAGCUUAAGUUUCAGGACUAAAUUAGGGCCAUUAUUUUAGGGAGUAAAAACUUGGAUGAGUGCCACCUACAGACUGUAGUAACAUUUUGUUUCCUAUGAUUUAUCUUGAACUGCAAAUUACAGUAGCAUUUACAAGGCUGAGAUUCUUGAGACUUGUAACUAUAGAGCCCUUGAAGGAUUCCAUCCUUGAAUGGUAAAACCACUUAAGAUUGCAAACCACAUUUUGGAGAGCCCCAAAAUGCACCAACUUGGAUUGCAAAGACCAAUCUGUGUUUAUCCAUUGUAGUCUAGGUCCUGAUAAUGGCAAACACAGUUGUUAGGGAUCUCCCAAGAACCCUCAGCACCCUUAGCAAACUGCAGUUCCCAGGAUUUUUAAAAAGUGGUAUGAUACUGCUGUAAAUGUAUAGUGUGGAUGAGGUCUUUGUUUCUCUGUCCUCCUCCUCAUCCAGCUGCUCUGUUCUUUCCCUUUCCACUCAGUUUCCUCCCUCUGUUAGUUUUCCGAAUUUCAUGCUACUGAAUUAUGAAGCUGCUCCUCCCCACGCUUUAGGUUUCUUUUUUCUUUGGUUUUGUUCUUGUGCAUUUUUUAAAGGUACAUAGAUUAUGAAAUGGUACCAAGGUCACAUUCUGCUGAACAAGCACGAUUGUGAACGAGAUUGCAGGUGGAUGGGUAAGAAGCAAGAUCAUUGAGGCCCAGGCUGGAAGCAUUGCAGGUGGAUUGUACUGUAAGUUACAUGGAAGCACUAUGCUCCUGCUAUCCUUAUGAAGCCAAUUGUCUUUUGUAAGCUCCUUUGGCUUGGGAAGGUUGUAUGCUGAAAGCUCACAAGUGCUUUAAAGGAACAUAAUAAAAAAUGUGUAAUCAUUUUUAAAGCAGGAAGAGAUGUACACAACAAUAACUUCAGGAAAUUCUUAGAGGUACUUUGAAAAUUAAAUUUCUGUAAACACAAUUAAUAGUUGUGCCUUCACAGAGGAGGCGGCGCUUUAGCAUCCUCUGACACUUCUGGGCGGAGUGUGCGCAGGUUCAUUUCUAGCUGUGUGGUGUGUGUGUGUUUUAAGAAAAAAGCGGGGGGGGGGGGGGGCUCUAGUAGUCAUUCAAGUCAUGACUUUGUUAGAGUAUGAGAAGCCUUUAAAAUCACUUAGUAGAAUAAAACUCCCAAGUACUGUAACUGUCAGAUUGCUUUAUCUAAUUUAUGGAAUGGAGGCAAAGGAAUAAACAAUAACACUCCAUUUAGAGUUAUUAGAUUAGCCGUUAUAGAAACCACAGAAAGUACAUAAGCCUUUACUUUAUGUUCACUUGAAUUUGGCUAUUAAGCUUUGAUGGAACUUUCAUUUAACCAAAUGCCUUUGUUUACAACAAUAAACUGGUUAACUCUGAUUUCCCUCCUAAAUUAAAUAUGGCAACAUCAAUAUUUGCCUACCUCAUUGGCCCUUAAGUUUGUGCAAUCAGUUCAAUUAGGGGGGUCUGAUUCUGCAGAGAUUUAUGCCUGCGUUGUUUACCACUAAGAAGGCUUCUUGCCCAUGAGAACUGCACAAUAGGUGCCACCCAAAUCUUCAGCCUGCUGUUGAUUUGCAUCUUCUCUUCUUGUACUAUCUAGCUCGGAGGUGGGAAACCUGGCUGUGAUGGGAAGAUGAGCUGCUUGUGCGUAAAAUCGUAUUCCCUCAGAGUUUGUUCAAGUCCACAAACCUCUGUCUGUGACUGAGCCCCUCUGACAUGGCUCCUCUAGUCACUAGAAGAUUCCGACAGUGGUUGCUUUCGUAAUCGCUUCCAACAUAAAAGCUCCUUAACGGAAACACGUCUUCUGGACUCUCUGCGUGACAGUUUCCGGCGAGGAGUGGGUGUCCCUACAGGAGGUCCGGAAACCUCACCACUGUUUUCGCUGGAAGUAUCUCUGAGCCAUCCCCCCAGCUCCCUUUCCCUCAGUUCAGCUUCUCUCCCCCUGCUGGUUUCCUCUUCAGCUGCUGAGUCUCUUCCAACCUGUCUGAGCCCUUUCACCUCCCUCAGUUCAGCUUCUCUCCCUUGCUGGUUCCCUCUUCAGCUGCUGAGUCUCUUCCAACCUGUCUGAGUCCUUUCACCUCCCUGCCUUCCGAUGGCAGUUCCCUGACAUCCACCUCCCCUCCAGGGCCCCCUUCACCCCUCUCGCCCCCUCCUCUACGGGCGGUGAGGAGGCAAAACCCCGGAAUGAACUUCCUUCAUCUUCCGAUGUCUCGAACACUUCUCUCCACCUGUUGCGGUUCCUGGUCUCGAAGCACUCCUCCUCCUCCGAGUCCAUCUCCCCUUCCCCUUCCGAUUCUGGGAAUCCUUCCAACUCCUCCUCCUCCUCAGUGGUCCCAAAGUAUUCCCUCCGGAACCUCUCCACAGGCUGAGGUUUCCUCGGGAACCUUUGAUGGAACGUUUCUAUCAAUACCUCGUCAUUGAUAUCUUCGGCCAUUACCCACGUGUUUUCUGACUCCGGUUCUCCUUCCCACGCUACCAAAUACUCCACCUGAUUCCCCUUCCACCUGGCAUCAAGGAUUUCUGCCACAUGACUGCUGCAUUCUCUUUCUUCUAUGACCGGUCCCCGAGUGGCCAUCCCUUCUCGUCCCCUCGUACGGUGACAGUAACGACCUGUGAAAUACUGGGUGCAGUUUCAUGUGGUUGGGUAACCGGAGCCUGAAAGCCACUGGGUUGACCUGUUGAAUGACCUCAAAGGGACCCAACCUCCUGGGUCUUAAUUUCUUACAACCUCCUUUGAACGGCACCCCUCGGGUUGACAGCCACACCCUAUCUCCAACCCUUAUGGUUUCACCUUCCCUUCGGUUCUUGUCUGCCUGCCUCUUGUAUUCUUCCUUCGCCCUUUCUAAGUUGAGUUGGAGCUGACGGUGGAUUGCUUCCAUUUCUUCUACAAAAUGCUCGGCUGCCGGUACGCUCCAUCUCUCCCCUUCUCCCCUGGGAAAGCCCUGGGAUGACACCCAUAAUUAGCCAAGAAGGGGCUCAUCCCUGUGGACACAUUCUCGGCAUUGUUGUAGGCAAAUUCCGCCAGCGCCAACUUUUCUACCCAGUCAUUCUCUCUGUCAUUGACAUAACACCUCAGGUAUUGCUGGAGGACACCGUUUGCUCUUUCCGCCUGCCCGUUGGUUUCAGGGUGCCGGGCAGUCGAACAGUUGACCUCCACCUGCAGUAAGCUCAUGAGCUUCCUCCAGAACCUGGAAGUAAAUUGUUUUCCUCGGUCUGAGACCACCCUCAAUGGCACCCCGUGCAACCUAAAAAUGUGUUCUACAAAUAACUUCGCUGUCUCUUCCGCCGUGACUGCAUGCGAGCAAGCUACAAAGUGGCACAUCUUUGUUAGUAGGUCUACCACCACCAUGAUGGCUGUUUUCCCUUUGGACUUCGGCAGAUCAGUCAUAAAAUCUAUCGACACUGCCUCCCAAGGUCGUUCUGGUGUAGGUAAGGGUUCUAAUAGCCCCGCCGGCGCCCGCCUUUCCCCUUGGGCUCGCUGGCACUGCUCGCACCCUCUUACAUACUCACGUACAUCCUCCCUCACCUUAGGCCACCAAAAUUCCCUGGUGACCAACCACAUGGUUUUGUGUUGCCCAAAAUGCCCCGCCGUGGGGCUGUCAUGCAACUGCUUGAGUACCCUCCCCCUUAAGUCUCCUUCAGGGAUAUACAGUGCCCCUUUGUAAUACAAAGCUCCAUUUCUUUCCUCGAAACCCCUUGAUUCCUCUCCCUCAUCCCUAAGACCUCUGAGCUUAUUCUGGGCGUAUUCAUCAUUCUCUGUUUCUUCUACCAGUUCUCUUUGUCCCACCAAUGCCGCCCCACACACCCAGCGGUCCUCUGGAAUGACAUGUCUCUCUUCAGGUGCUCCCUCCCCUCCAAAUAUUCAGGUUUGCGUGAGAGAGCGUCCGCCCUAAUGUUCUCUGGGCCUGGCACGUAACAAAUCUCAAAGUUAAAUUUGGAGAAUUCCUGGGCCCAUCUCACUUGCCGUUGGUUGAGCACUCGUGCCGUCCUCCAAUACUCUAGGUUCUUGUGGUCAGUGCACACUUGCACCUUAUGUUGUGCGCCAAUUAGCAGGUGCCUCCAUCUCCGGAACGCCUCAUGAAUGGCUAGUAGUUCUCGGUCAUACACCGUGUAGUUCCUCUCGGAUUUGUUCAGCUUUCGCGAAAAAAAGCACACGGUCUCCACUCUGACUCCUCCUUCCCUGGCUGGAGAAGCACCGCCCCAACCGCUCUGUCUGAUGCGUCAGUUUCCACUCUCAUCGGUUUUUGUAAAUCCACAUGCAGGAGCUGUUGUUCCGAGGCGAAGGCCCUUUUAGUUCCUCAAAUGCUUGCUCCGCCUCCUCCGUCCAAACGAACUUCUUCUUACUGCUGAGACAGUCCGUAAUGGGCGCCGUCAGGUGGGCAAAGUUUGGGAUGAACUUACGAUAGAAGUUCCCAAAUCCUAAAAACCUCUGCACAUCCUUCCUUGUUUUGGGUGUUUUCCAUUCCAGUACCGCCUGGACCUUGCCGGGAUCCAUGGCCAACCCCUUGUCAGACAGGCGAUACCCCAGGAAUUCCACCUCCUUGGUAUGAAACUGACACUUCUCCAGUUUCACCCACAGCUGGUUGGCUUGCAGCCUGCUCAACACUUCUCUGACGUCUCUCACAUGCUGCUCCUCAUUCUCAGAAUACACCAACACGUCGUCUAAGAAGGCCACACAAUUCUUGUAAAGCAACGGCCCCAGGACGUGGUUCAUAAACGAUUGAAAUGUUGCGGAGCCUGCUUGUAGACCGAAGGGCAUAACUAAGUAUUCAAAUGCCCCUAAAGGGGUGAACAUGGUGGUUUUCCAUUCAUCCCCCUUCCUUAUUCGUAUCAGGUUGUACGCCCCCCUUAGAUCCAGCUUGGUGAAAAUCUUUCCCUUCCGCACCCUUGUCAAAAUGUCGUCAAUCCUGGGCAUCGGGAAGGCCACUGGUUCUGACACUGCAUUUAAGGCCCUGAAGUCACACACCAGUCUCGGCUUGUUCGUGUUUUUGUCCACAAAAACACUGGGCUGCCCCACCGCCCUGGACUCUCUGAUGAACCCUCUCUUCAGGUUCUUGUCAAUGAACUCUCUUAGCUCCUGCAUCUCUCUGUCUGACAUGGCGUACAGCUUGCCCACAGGGAGCUGUGCCCCAGGGAGCAAAUUGAUUUGACAGUCAAAGGCUCUAUGCGGUGGUAGUUGAUCAGCUUCCCUUUCGCUGAAGACGUCGCGGAGAUCUGCGUAUUGUCGUGGUACCUUCACGUUCUCCGUUACUUCAGUCCCUGCUAGGGUGGCUUGGACCCCUGCCAAAACCUUUCCCUCUUUGCAGUGUUCUAAGCAAUGUGCUGACCCAAAAGAAACCACUCUUUGAUGCCAGCCCACCAGCGGAUCAUGUAACGCUAGCCAGCUCAUCCCCAAUAUAAUGGGAGCUCCUCCCAAGGUGGCCACAUUAAACGCUAUUAGUUCGGUGUGCCUUGCCACCUUCAUUAUCAUUGGGACGGUCUGCAAGCUGACUUCUCCUCCCAACAGCUCCCUGCCAUCGAUCGUGGUUACCUGCAGGGGUUGCUUAAAGGGAGCGUCUGUAUCUGGUGUUCAGCUGCAAACUCUUUGCUCAUGAAAUUGCAGGAGCUGCCUGAGUCCAACAGCGCCUUUAUCUUUAGAGGGUGUCCGUUUGGCAGCUCUAGUGUCACUUCUAUCACUAGGGCGGGUUUAGGAGGUUCUGGCGUGGGCACUUUCACUGCUCUUUGGCCUGGCUGCUGUGCCCUGACAAUGGCAGCCAGGCGUUGGCUUUUAGUUGCUCCGGUAUUUUUUCCUCUCUUCCCUCCACAGCUCCCACCAUCCCUUGCCAUUCCUUCCUCUGGGGGCAGACUCUGGCAAAGUGCCCUGGCUGUUGGCAGAGAUAGCAUUUCCGGGCGCCUUUUCCCUCCUUCUUUCCACCCUCACUGGGCUUUGAAACUGCGCGCGCGCGCUGUUCCGAUUUCCAUCGGCUCUGCCGGCGGGAAAGUUGGCUCUGGAAUGUCUGGAAUGCGGAACUCCUUCCAACGUUCCCCUGUCCCUUCCCGCCUCUCCAAUGCUCUCGCCUCCUGGCGCGCUCCUAUGGCCAGCGCUGAUUUGGUCAGCUGGUCCAUAGACUCCGCCCUGGGCGCCCGGGAAAGUUCAUCUUUCACAGCCGAAGAAAGCCCUUCUUCAAAGAGCAUUUGAAUGGGUUCCGCCGAUAAGUCCCACCCCAAUCUGUGUAUCAGCAUGGUGAACUCAGUCCAGUACUCACGUACAGAUCGGCUCCCUGUUUGCAAGCCAUUAACUGUCUGCGCACCACUCCCUUUUCAAUAUCGCUGGAAAACAUCAGAUCCAUGGCGCGAAAGAACUUCAUCGUGUCCUUUAGGACGUCACUAUGCGCUGCCAUCAGGGGUCUAACCCAGUCUCUCGCCCCCUUUUCAAGAUGCCCAAUCACAAAAGCCACUCGUGAUUCCUCAUCAGGGAAAUCAUCAAACUGCAGAUUGAGGGCAUAUUGCAUUUCUGUCCGAAAGCUAUGAUAGUCUUUGGGCUCCCCCCCAAAUUUCUGCACCAAUCCUGGUACCUUUCUGGCGAGCUGGGUGGCUUUCUCCCUUUGUCUGCAUCUUGAGCCCUCCUCUCCUCCAGCCUCGCCGUCUGCAGCGCCAGCUGGACCUCCAACACCCGGUACCUUUCUUCCAGGCUUGGACCCGCUCCAGCCCCUGCUUCUCCGGUUCCUGCUGGGUUGCUCAUUAUGCCUUCUCCUGCACAAGCUGCGUUCAAAGACUGUCGGAAUGCUGUGAUGGGAAGAUGAGCUGCUUGUGCGUAAAAUCGUAUUCCCUCAGAGUUUGUUCAAGUCCACAAACCUCUGUCUGUGACUGAGCCCCUCUGACAUGGCUCCUCUAGUCACUAGAAGAUUCCGACAGUGGUUGCUUUCGUAAUCGCUUCCAACAUAAAAGCUCCUUAACGGAAACACGUCUUCUGGACUCUCUGCGUGACAGUUUCCGGCGAGGAGUGGGUGUCCCUACAGGAGGUCCGGAAACCUCACCACUGUUUUCGCUGGAAGUAUCUCUGAGCCAUCCCCCAGCUCCCUUUCCCUCAGUUCAGCUUCUCUCCCCUGCUGGUUUCCUCUUCAGCUGCUGAGUCUCUUCCAACCUGUCUGAGCCCUUUCACCUCCCUCAGUUCAGCUUCUCUCCCCUUGCUGGUUCCCUCUUCAGCUGCUGAGUCUCUUCCAACCUGUCUGAGUCCUUUCACCUCCCUGCCUUCCGAUGGCAGUUCCCUGACACUGGCGCUCCCAAGGUGCAUUUGGACUCCCAAGUCCCCAUUAGGCCCAGCGACCGUGGUCAAAAGUCAAAGGUGACAAGAGCUGCUGGAAACUCCCCAUCCCUGAUCUCGCACAAGGCACUCCAGGCAGUUCAUCAUUUAAUAUAGUGAUACAGACAGUGCAACAGGCAAUACAAAUGGAAAAUAGGGUGAUAAGGAAAGAGAAAAAUAAGCUUUGUUAGAGAGUUCUGGGAAGGAAGGCACUGAAUGGCAGCUAGCCGAAGCCGAGCCCUUUAAAUGCCACUAAAUGGAAUGGCGUGGAAAUAAAAAAUCCGACAUAGGGCUGUGGUUGCGGCACCAACAAUGCCUGCAUACACACCAAACAUUUUAGGCACUCCCUGAAAGAAUCCUGGAAACUGUAGUUUACCCGUAACAGAGCUACAAUUCCCAGCACCCUUAACAAAUGACAGUGUCCAGGGUUCUGGUCUCUCUCUGUGUGCUUUAAACGUAUUGUUUGUAUGCAGCCCCCAUGCUUAUUUUUCAGUGGAAUGUUGUUAUACCCGAAAUUAAAACAGAAACAACUUGUUGUCUUUGAAAAUGAAGUUACAGCUUGAUACUUGGUGAGAGGAACUGAGACCAAGCUGGUUUCAGACAACCGCAAGUGCUCUCACAUGUAUGAACGGGUCUGGUGCUUUGGCUUUGACUGGCAAACUUGCACAAUGCUGUAGUGUAGAGGGAUUCAUGGAGAAACAAAAGAUGAUACUGAUUGGUUUAUGUUUAUUUGGAUGAGGUUGGAUGGCCAUCUCUCACAGAUGAUUUAGUUGAGAUUCCAUCACAGGGGGGUAGACUAGAUGACACCUCAGGGACCCUUCCAAUUCUACGAUUCUUUUUCUUUUAUUAACUGUCGCCUGGAGGAACCUAGACCCCCUGUAACUCAUACGUCUUUUUGGCUUAGUAAUUUAACUUAACAUGCUUCUAUUAUUUUCUGCCUUACACACGUCAUGACUGUGUUUUGCAUGACUGUAUCCAGUGGCCAAAACCCAUUAUUUGUUGUUUGCAUUGUUUCACGUUAUUCUGAAUAAAAAUUAUAUUAUAAAAAAGGGAAGAAAAUGAAGUUAAAUUACUUUAACCCAGACUUGGCUGAGAUGCUCUGGCUGCUUAAUAUUCAGAGUAAAUCUGUUUUUAUCUAGCUGCAUUCAUCUUCGAAUCUGAAGGGCUUUGUGCAUGCUUCCAUAAUCAAAUAGAACAAUAAGUCUGUGCGAAGGAGAGUGAAUACGCUACAGAAUGCAGGUAAAUGCUCAUAGAUAUUUUGAUUUGAGACUUGGCCAGCACAUCAGAGGAUGCUCCAGUGAAAGGCAUUCAAAUUUUUAUCUUAACGGGAAGCAGAUGAGACACGGCUCAAAUUGAAUAUGCCACCCCUACUAAACUUGUAUACAGCACUGCCACCAGCUGUCUUCAAAACACACAUUAAUUCCGUAUUGCUGUGGAGCCCGCAAAUACGGCUGUAGCAGAGUUAUUUGUUAUGAGAACUUGCUGGUGUGCAAACUCUACAGUACUCCAGAGUUUAAAUCUUUUGCAUGUAUAUUGAAGUUCCAGAGUUUAGCACAGAGUUUAGGGGCAUAUUUUGAGUGCUUAGUGCUCCUGCAGGUCAUGGAGCUAGCCUAAGGCUGCGCUUGAGGAUUUUCAGUGUUCUCCUGGCUUUAGAAAAAUAGUGAAAUCUACAUUAUUUCCCUUACUUCACAUGUCGGUGAUUCUUCCUCUUUCCACUUUAGACAACCUUUGACUGGAAACUGGCAUAAAAAGCCACCAAGUCACUCAUUCCCCUCAUUUUUCUCUAGAUGUAAUAUGCUACAAAUAUUAUCCCACACCUUUUGUUCUUCCCUUCCCUGACUCAGUUUAGAUAAGAGACCAAACCAGGAUUUGCCCAAACCAUAGUUAAGGGCCCACAUCAGGGGUCAGCAAACUUUUUCAGCAGGGGGCCGGUCCACUGUCCCUCAGACCUUGUGGGGGGUCGGACUAUUUUUUGGGGGGGGAGGGGGAAUGAACGAAUUCCUAUGCCCCACAAAUAACCCAGAGAUGCAUUUUAAAUAAAAGGACACAUUCUACUCAUGUAAAAACACACUGAUUCCCAGACCGUCCACGGGCUGGAUUUAGAAGGCGAUUGGGCCAGAUCCAGUCCCCGGGCCUUAGUUUGCCUACCCAUGGCUCACAUUGUUGACUUGAGCUUUCAAAUGUAGAGCAACCAAACAAUGCUUUGUUCCUUGUUGUCUCUCUUUAUUUUCUAUCUGUUCAUCAUUGAGCCACAAGUCCUGGUUGUGGGUUUCUGAUGGGGCUGUCUGGUUGGCAAGAUGCUGGAAUAGAUGCAAAGGGCAUUUCAUCCUCACUGGCUGCCGCACUGCCACAACAGUGUUGUGGGAACAGAGUGAGAGAGAUGGGGUGGGGGGAUGACGACAAAUUUUAGCAUUGCCCAGGGUGCCUCUGAGAUUUGAGAUCUGCCACUGGUAGAUGGGUCACUGGUCUGAUCCAGCAGACUUGGGUUACCUGAAAGAUUAGAAACCUGCCCAGGCACUAAGAAGGAUGAGCACCUUCUCUCUGUUCCCUAAACAUCAAAGGCAUCGUUGGUAGUGACACGAGAGACGGUCCUUUCUGUGUCUGCUUCCAUACUGUAGAAUUCCUUCCCAAGAGAGGUUAGAUUGGCUAAGACCUUUGCCAUCAGGCAGGCUUUGGGAAACCAGGUGCAGGCAAUGUUGACCACUGGACUGCUAUCACGGCAUUAGGCAUUUCAAUGCUGGCCGCAACCCCAGAGUUGUUCGUGACUGGACUUAACUGUCAGGGAUCCUUUACCUUUACCUUUUACUAACUAGUUUGGUUUUACUACUUUGAAAGAAAGGCGGUAUAUAAGCAUUAAAUGAAAAUGAAUAAAGAAAUAAAUAACUGUGGCUUCUGACGUAACAGCAAACCACAGCUGGCCCAAAUUGCUGUUUGCAAACCGGCUUCAAAUCCAGGUUUGUCAACUGCUCAAAAACAAACCAUGGCUUGUGAAGCUAGCAGGUUCAGGCAUGCAAACCAUUUUAUAGUCCAACAUCUGAAUAAAGGCAGAUGUGAUUAAGUAAUUGUUUGCUUGCUCCUCUGGCCUUCAGAUGUUCAGAUGCAUAAGUAAUUCAUGGCUACUAUGCAGACUGCUAAGAAUGUUUCUCCCUUGUGCCUGUCGCUGGUACUUGGUGCGGUGAAAUCAGUAAAGUCCUUUGAUUUCAGUGGGUCUACUCAGAGUACUAUCACCCAGACAUUUUACAGCUCCCACUUUUGUUACUUUAGAGCGGUGGCUUCAUUUUGCAAAGCUGAACAGCUGAUUAUGAUGCAAUGGUAAGAGUGAGAGAAGCUUAAGCAAAAAAGAAGCCUGUCUCUGCCUUGAGAUAGGAAGAAGGAGAGGCAGGGGUAACACUCCAGCUUUGGCUGUUCCUUGAAAAGUUGGAUCUGGCCAUGGUGACACAUGCUUUGGUUAACAUCUGGCAGUGAAGCUGUUGCAUGGGCAGUGGCUGUGCAUGACUUAUACAUAUGUGGAAUAUUGGCACAAAUCUAUAUAGGCAUGGGCCUUUUCUCCAAACUUCCACCUGCCUAUGUCUCAUCUUCAGUAUUGUCUGUCACUCUGAUGAUGGGAUGAAAGAGUUGGAAAGUAGCAGUGAAUGUUUCAAGUCCCCUUGUUUAGCACUAUAAGCGUACAGCUUAUAGGCUUUGGGUUUUACUUUCCCCCCAAAACCACCAGUAGAAAGACUGAGCUCUGUUUCCCCGAAAACUCCUUCAGCUUGGACUUAGGUUAAAACGUGGCUACUAAUUUAUAGAGCAAAUGUUCCCGUUUAAUUGGCAGGCAGCUCAAUGCUUCCUCUUUUCCUCUCUUAUCCUUUUGCAGCCUUGAAACAUAGCAAAGAAGCGGAAUCCAUUGAGAAUACUCUCUAAGGUAAGUGUGUUUAUUACAUUGCAUUAGCAAACAUUGCCGUGCUGCAUUGAUUUUUCUUUUAUUCGGGGAUUUAAGUACUCGGAUUAAUGACAGAGCAGACAGGACAACUUCUUUUACCCACAUGGCUGUCCCCUCUUUGCACAAAACGCCACGCCGCAGUUAGAGGGAAAAGCGUAACAAAAUGUGCCAAUGUGCUGAGGAUGGCCAAAUUUCGGGUUGUUAGCUGACAUGCGCUUUGUUCUCGGUGGCUGAGAUAUUACCGUGUAGCCGUGCGCGCGCUAAGAUUAAUGCUACAGAAUAGAGAACAAAAGGCCCUCCAUGAACUGGUAUUGCUCUUGGUCAAUAGCGGAAUAAAGCUAGCUGGCAAAAUAAUGCAUUUAAAGUGGGCUGCUGAGUGGCGUUUUAAUCUGAUUGUGUUUAAUUUAUUGUGAUAGGCAAUAUCGGAUAGCGAACAGCUCUGCAGAAAGGAAGGGGGGGGGAGAUUAUUGCUUGCAAAGUCCUCCUGGCUUUGUAGCUGGUCAUUAAGUACAUAAAACUGAUUUGUGGAUAGAUGCUGGAGCAAAAGCUCCUUCCUCUUAUCUUAUACCACACCCCGUGGCCUUGUUCGCAUGCCAUGGUAACCCAUGGUUAAUGGCUUAAUCGGAGUGGGCCAAUUUCACCUACUUCAUGGCUCCCUUCUAGUGAGUGGGAGCAGCAAACCAUAAUACUUGGCUUAUGUUUGAACCGUGGCUUUGUUUCACCCUAGACAAUCCACGAUCUGAAAGCCAAGGCUUGGUCUUGGCUUUCUGAUUGUGCAGCUGCCUGUUACAUUGCCUGGAGCAAGUAUUUGCAUUUUAGUUUUUUGACUGCAAUGUUAUUAUCUUUGCAUCGGAAUAAACCGAACCACUUGUUCAAACUAUCUUGUGCACUCCGAAUCGGGGAGCUUCUUAGAGUUACCGCACAACAGCCCACUCAUUACAAGCAUGAGGAGUAACUUUCGUUGGAGGUGAGCUAAGAGUGGCUGUCCUGCUGCUAUACGUCUCUGCUUGGGAACACAUUGCUGGAUGUAUUUUCUAAAAUGGGAAGGAGUAAGCCACCAAAGGACAAAUAAACAAAUACUGGAGAACAGGGCCAGCUGAAGAUACUUUGUUGCCUGAGGCAGUGCAGCAAAUGGCAGCCCCUUCCCAAUCAAUGGGCGUAGUUCCAAAGGCUAGUCAAGUUACUUUGGCAUCUGAGGCAAACCCCCCACCUGAAAAAAUAUCCCAACCACCCCACAUAGACUUCUCCUCUUCUCUGAUAGAAUGUAUUCAAGUAUUUUAAAGCAACUAACAGUUUGCUUCCCAUCCAUGACAUCAAAAAUUAGUUACUUGAGGCAGCCCCCUCACUUUGUCUAACAGUAGGGCCGGCCCUGUCAGAAAUGCAGCACUAAGUUGUAUCUUUUGGGAAAUUGGGGAAAUGCAAAGCUAUCAGAGUCCUUAAAACUGUUAUGUGAUCUGCAAGACACCUCCUCUUUGUGGCAAAGGUCCUAAGAGUGGUCUAAAAUAUCCUGUAAUUUUGUAUUCAGCUUGAGCAACAGUUCUUUGUUUCUGUGGUGAGCUUAUUUCUUUUCGGUCUCCAAAGAGGUAAAUGUUAGAAUUGGGAACUGAGAUAAUUAAAGCAGCCUAAAACAUAAAUUGCAGAUUUAGAAACUGAAGAUUGUUACAUUAUGCAGUGAUAUGUGAGUUAUUAGUCUUGGAAUGCCAUCAAUUGUAAACUAGUGUGAUCAACGACUGAAAACAUUGGUUAAACAACAGAUUUAUGUAAUAGACAGGAAGCAAAUCCAUGCUAUGGUUUGUUCUGUGAGCAGUAUUUAUUUUUUCCCCCUAAGCAUAUUUGCAUUUUAUGGUUCACUAAAUUGAUUUUUUUAAACAGUUUAUAUGUAGAGUCAGACUGUUCUAUGGGCGGAAGCAAAAAAAGAACAGGUUGUAGUAUGUUGGAAAUGUUUCUAGAAAGGAAACCUUUGGAGGAAGAAACUAGCACAUCUGUACAGCAACAGCUGCUUAUGUGCUUGGGCCCAAUCCGGAGAGAUGUGCAACUAGUUCUGAACAGCCAACAUGUCUUAGGACUUCCCUGUGUGUCUCAACACGUGGCAAUUAAAGAAGUGUCAUCUUAGCACGUCUGCCCAAAGAUGUAUGAUUGUACUCUUGACUUGGCUGGAAAACUCUUGCCAAUCUAUGAAUUGAUCGCCAAUUACAUUUCCCAGACAUGUUUAAUAAUACAAUAAUAGUAAUGCAGCAAAGUGAGACUGAUUGAUCGAAUAACAAGGCUGCAAAUAGAGAUGAAGGACACCAGAGUUAAUCUCAGAUCCUCGAGCACUUAUUGAUGGGGCAAAAUAUGCGAGCAAGUGAAACGGUAUGUGGACACAGUCUGUGGAGUGUAGUCAGAACACAUGAGCUCGUCAGCUUUGAAAUUGGAUUUUGAAUUUCUUCCUUUCUGUUUAUUUUAUUAAAGCAUUUCUAUAUGUUCCUUCCCGGCUCAAUGUGAGACACUUAAGGUGGUAUGCAGCAGAUCAAAAUAGCCAAAGAUAUAAAAAUAUACCACAGUAAGGGAGCAACCCUUUUCACAAGAAGCUGGCAUGAAGCAAGCUGGUGUAAGUUAAUUGGGAGUAAAGUCACACCAGAUCCAAACCUCUUUCA
This 56515-nucleotide long non-coding RNA is filed under the name Podarcis lilfordi (Lilford's wall lizard). The record is from RNAcentral. Lineage: Eukaryota; Metazoa; Chordata; Lepidosauria; Squamata; Lacertidae.